UUUUUUUUUUUUUUUUUUUGUUAAAAAUUAAUAUUUUUAUAUUUUGAAUUGUUUUGAUGUGCUAAUUUUAAAAAAAUAAAAAAAAUAUCAUUUUAAAAAAAUAAUCACAAUCACACUUCAAAAUAGACCCAUUAAAUUACUUAUUAUGUGUAAUUACAAGUCUUUAAAUCAUUCUUUUUUCUUGCGAUGCAAGAAUUUGUCUUUUGAUUGUUCUUUUUUAAUAUCCGAGAAAUUUAAAAUUUCUACGAGAAGAGGUAUUGGCAACAAAUUCUUUUUGGUAAUAGCCCGUAAUUAUAAUUAUUUUUUAAAAUAAUUUUUACUUAAAAUAUAUUAAAAUAAUAUUUUAAUUUUGUCGCUUCCCCGAGUACCAGCCUUGCUAAUGAAGCAAUACCUUUGAUUUGUAAGGAGACAGCAUCAUAAAAGAUUAGUAAGAUAGUUAAUUAGAUAUCUAUUUUACAAAUAAUAAUUAAUUUAAUUACAAAUUUAAUCAGCAAUUAUGGUUAAUGGAUCUUACAAUAAUAUAUUUUCCUAAAUAGUCUAACCACAGAGGAAAACAAUAAUAGCAAUACGAAGCAGGCCCAACACCUUAUUUUCUUUUUCCGAGAAUGUUUAGGGAAACUUCAUAAAAGUCCCCAAACUUUGAGGCUAGUCUUGAUCAGGUCCCUAGCAUAUUUCUCAUCUCAAUUAGAUCUCUAAUAUAGAUAACAAUUCUCAAUCAUAUCCUUCAUUCAAUUUUAGUUAAUAAAAUCAUUAAGUGAUUCAUAAUAUUUUUUAAAAAAAGAUGAAUUUUUUAGGAUUUUCGCUUUGAAUUAUGUGAAAAUGACGUAACAGACCAAAAUUAAAAUGGAAACACGAAAAUCUUAUAUUUAUUUUGUAUAAUUUUCUGUUUUAUUAUAUGACGUGAAAAGUUUUAGUUAAUUAAUGGGUAAAAGGAAUAAAGAAAAAUUAAUUGAUUUUUUCAUAACUAUUUAACCCUUAUAUUAACCUAAACUAACAUAAGGGUUUGAUUGAGAAUUCAUUGAUACACUAGAGAUUUAAUCAAGAUGAAAAAUAUGUUGAGGGCCUAAUUGAGACUUCCCCUACAGAUUGGGGUUUUUUUUAGGCUUGUCAAAAUAUUUAAUUCCUAAUUUUCAAUUUAUUGCGGCAGCUACUGAAACUCCUUAAAGAAAAGUUGGUUUAUUUUUUACUUUGUUUAGCCCCUGGCAUUGCUUGAAUAUUGGGAUUUCAUCCUAGCCACUAGAAGUCUUUCAAUUUGGUCCAAUUACUCACAAUUAAUUGGAAGAUAAUUUAUUUUGAGUGUAAACACAAGGCAUCAACAUGGCCCUCGAUUACGGACCAUUCUCUGAGAAGCAUAUGGUAACCACCCAUCACGCCAAUAAAUAAUCUCUUAUACUUAAUUGAUUAGAUUUUAAAGUUAUUUUUUAAAAAUUAUUAAUUUAAAUCUUACAAAUUUCAGAGCCACUAGAAGCUUUCAUGAUCGUUAACUUCAGGGCUCGUGAGAUUACUCGAAGUGCGCGCAAGCUGACCCGAACACCUAUAUUAAUAAUAAUAAUAAAAAUCUCCGUUCAUUUUUUUUCUCCCAGAAAUUAAACUAAAAUCGACAGUAAUUAUAAUGUCAAACCAAAAUAUAUAUUAUAAGAUGUUAUGGAUAUAAUUUUUUAUUUAAAUAAUAUACAAAUACGUGUAUUUUGCUUAAAAUAUAUAUGUCGAGACUUAACAAGCAAGCAACAAGAGCAGGCCUGUAUGCAUGAGCUUGUUGGUUGUCUUGAGCAAAGCAAAAUGGAGGGCAAAGUCAGCGAAUAUUUGCUGCCAGUUAUUGUGUUGUUGCCAUGAUGUCGACUUCCUCCGCCUGCUUGUCGAGCUUCUGGUAAGGGCUUGGUCUUGAUAUUUGGUAUUGAUUUGUGGCACUCCAUCAGACGCAUUAAAUUUGGUAAUGACUUGUGGCAGGAAGCAGAAAAGAGAUAUAAAAAAAUAUUUUUCAAAACAAUGGAUAUUACAAUUCCAUACAGUAUAUAAUAAAAAAAAUGAAAAUAAGUAUUUCGGAUGAUUAAGCUAUGCCUUUUACAUUAUUAUCAUCUUCGAUGUUCAAAGUAGGGGUGAUCGUUUUUGGUUCGUUUUAGUUUUUAUAUAUAUAAAAAAACCAAACUGAAAUUUUUUUUAUAAAAACCAAAACCGGUUCAAACCGACCGGUUUCGAUUCGGUUCGGUUUUUUAAGACAAAAACCGGUUCAAACCGGUUUGACUCGGUUUUUUUUCCGGUUUGGGUUCGGUUUGGUUUUUUCGGUUUCAGGCUUAUAAAACCAAAACCGAACCGAACCGUCGGUUUUUUUAAAAUUUUAAUUGAUUUAAUCGGUUUUUUUUACGAUUUGGUUUUUUCAAUUAUUAUUUUUCUAGUUUUCUCAAUUUAAUUAAUUUUUUAAUUUUUUUACGUACCCUUAAUUCAAAGUAUAGUUCGGUUACGAAUGCAUCGGUUAAAAAAUUAGGAAAAAGAGACAUAAACAGAUUAAGCUUAUUUUUUUAUAGUUUAACGUGGGUGUCCGGGCCAGCUUGCGCGCACCUCGACUAAUCCCACGGGCCCUGAAGUUAACGACCAUGUAAGCCUCCAGUGGCCAUCAUAUGAGCAACCAUAGGGUUCGAACCUGAGACCACAGAGGGAGCAAAUCUCUUAAUCCCAAGCUUUUACCAUUGGACCACCACCUAGAUGGUUAACAGAUUAAGCUUAUUGAUUGUAUAUCUGAUAGCUUUCUUUAAUAAAAUAAAUUUGAGUUAUAAUGACUUCAAUUUAUUUUGUUAUUAUUAUAAUGGGAAAUAGUUAGGCGCAAUUAUAUAAUCUUAGAUGGUGUUUGAUUCUAAUGAUUAUUUUUUAAAGUUAUUUUUGGUUCAAAAAUAUAUUACAAAAUAUUUUUUUUAUGUUUUAAAAGUUAUUUUUAAUAUAUCAGUACGAUAAUAUAUUUUUUUUGUUAUCAAAACGCAAUAUUUGAGAACUUUAUUAGCAGUGAAGAAAAAGAGAGAGGGUGUUCCGCUAGUGAAGCUUUGAGCCCUAAGAAGUGCUUAAAUUGUUAUAUUCUGAAUGAGAUAAGAUAUAAAGCAUUUGAAGCACCCAUUAUAUAAGCAAAAGCUUUUUGUUUAUUAAAGAAAACUUGAAUCUUCUUCGAAAGAGGGAGACUCUCAAGCCUUGAUCUGUACUACGCUGUUAAUAUCUUUUAUAUUUGAUGAAGAGCAGCCUUCAUAUUUAUUAAGAUUUCUAAGUUGAAACCAUAUAGUAAAUGACCCAAGAGUUUGAAAUUAAAAAGCUUGUUUUCUUUGUGAUUUCAGAUUCGAGUCCUGUGGUUGUUAAUAAUAUGAUGACCACUGGAACCUUACAUAGUCGUUAAUUUUAAAAUCCAUGAGAUUAAUCGAAGUACAAGCAAGUUAGGCCGGACACGCCAGUAAUAAUAAAAAACAAAUUCCUAAGUUGAAGCGGCAUCUGUCCAUAUUGCGAAUUUGCAAUGACAAGUCACACUCAUAUCUAAAAGUUUUGAUUUUUUAACUUUGAACUGGUCUUUUAUAUAUAUAUAUAUAUAUAUAUAUAUAUAUAUAUAUAUAUUUGACGUUAAAGUAAUGUACAAAGUUGUAUUCCUAAGUGAAGAAAAAAUGCUUGCGAAAUAAGUUUCAAAGCAUGAAUUAAUACUAUCCGAGAAUUUUUAAUUUUUUUGUUGAAUCAAAUACGUUCCCGAUGAUGGUAUUUUUAACUCUUUAUCUUAUUGAAAUAAAUAGAUUGGGCUUUGAAUUUUUUUUUUAUUUGGGUAGUUUUUAUUUAUUUUUGUUGGAUUAAAGGGCUAUUAAAGAUUAGAAAUGUGUUUAUUAAGUUUUCUAAAAUGUUUCUUAGAUUUUUUAAGUAAAAUAAAAGUUGAUAAUAAAGAUUUUUUAGGUUCUAGAAGCCUUUUUUGUUUUUUUUUUACUUUCCAGUCUCAAAAAAAGGUUAGACACACAGACUUGGUCUCGCAGACUAAAACAUGCAUGGCCUGUGCAAGCGUGCUUGACUUCUCUUUUUUAGACAGGGCUGUCCCAUCAACAUCCAUGCGCCCUAGUUCUUGAGGCCUUCCGUUUUCUUUUAAAAUUUGAAUUAAAAUUCUUUAAAAUAAAAUAAUUGCAAUUAUAUUUAGAGUAUUAUUUCAUUAAAUUCCGUUAAAUUCUGGAAUUUUUUCUUCAAAUAAAACUGUUAAGGUUCUUAUAAUAUUAACAAGAGGAGGCCCAUAUGCACGAGCUUCUUUGAUGAUAUGUAUCAGAUAGAUAAGGUGGUUGUCUGGUAACGGCUGGAGAGAAUUUUUUUUUUAUAUAUAUAAUUAAUGUGGUUCUCCGAAUUAGUUUUCAUUCAUCUCGAUUAAUCUCAGAGACUUUAAAGUUAAUGAUCAUAUAAACUUUUAAUAACUCUAAAAUUUAUAAGACUUGAAUUAAUAAUAUUUAUGCUAUGUUUGUUUACCGGAAUUCACUUUCCGGGAAACCACUUUCCAAACUUUCCUGUGUUUAUUUGCCACUAGAAAAGUUGGUCAACGGAAAACACUUUUCAGUCAAAGAAAAAUUUGGCUUGGUUUCCAGGAAAGUGUUUUCCUGGAAAAUUUGAGCGGAAAACACUUUCCGGAAGUUGUGAAAAAUUUAGAAAUGUCAUAUUAUUUGCUGAUUAUAUCAAAUUUGAUUCUCAAACUUUUGAUUUCUAUAUAUAUUUUGUUUUGAAUAUUUAUUUUUCAAUUUCAUCUCUUAAAAUUUAAUUUUUAUAUUAACUUUAGUCCUCAUUUUUAUAAUUGUUAUUUGUUUUUCUCUUAUCAUUUUUUUAUUGAAAUUUUUUAUGUAUCAAAUUUAGUCCUCAUUCUUUUGAUUGUUACUUAUUUUAUUUGAAAUAAUUUAUGAAAUGUUAAUUAUUAUUAUUUUAAUUUCUUCAUCUUUCAUUUUUUUUAUUUUUUAGAUUUGAUUUCUAUUAUUUAUUUUAUUUGAGAUAAUUUAUGAAAUUUUUUUUUCAAUUUCAUUCUCAUUCAACCUUUUAAUUUGUAAGAUUUAUUUCUUAUUAUUUUAAUAAACUCGAGAAAAUAAAACAUUAAUAAGUUAUUUUUCAGCUCAUUUUCUAUGACAUAACCAAACACUGAAAAAUAUUUUUCAAUUUAUUUUUUAUUAUACUACCAAAUAUCGAAAAAUAAUUUACUUUCUUGAAAUUAAUUUUUCUAGAAUUUAUUUUCUAAAAAAAACUACUUUCAAACAACCAAGCAACAAGCAAACAAACAAAGUGGACCUGGGAACAAAAUCUAGAAAAUCUAGAAACUGAAUUAUACCUUUUAGAAUUAAUUUGAGGUUGUCCGGUGACGGCUGGGGAAUAAAAUGGAGUGCAAGGUCUGCUGCCAGCGAUUAUGAUGCUGCCAAGCCAUUAACGCAUCACCAGAAGCAUUGAACUUGGUAAUGACUGCUGGCGAGGACUCGGUCUUGAUAUUUGGUAUCGAUUUGAAAAUGACCCUCGGAAGAAUUAAAUUUGAAAAUGAAUAAAAUAGUCACCGACUAAUUCUGUAUUUAUUAUUGUGAUUUAAGAUGGUUUUUUUUUUAAUAUUUUUUGUUUAAAAUAAUUUUUUUUAUUUUUUUAUAAACAUUAUCAUCAACAUCAACAUUCAAAAUAAGUUGAUGCGUAUAUGAUAAUUUCUUUUAAUAAAAUAAAUUUAAGUUAUAAUGACUUUAGUUUAUUUAAUUAUUAUUAUUAUAACAAGAGAGAGUUAGCUCCAAUUAAACAUAUAUAAUCUAAGGGUUUUGUUUAUGGGUGAUUAUUUUAUAUUUGGUUCGGUUUUUAUUAAAAAUAAAUAACAAAAUUAAAUUAAAAAAACAAACCGAAACCGGUUCAAACCAGCCGGUUUCAGUUCGGUUUUUUAGGAUAAAAACCGGUUCAAACCGGUUUGGUUUGGUUUUUUCCAGUUUGGCUCGGUUUAUUAUCAACAUCAACAUUUAAAAUAACUUAGUAGAUGCGUAUAUGAUAAUUAUUUUUAAUAAAAUAAAUUGAAGUUAUAAUGACUUCAGUUUAUUUAAUUAUUAUUAUUAUUAUAAGAAGAAAGAGUUAUAACAAACUCAUCACCUGUUAAUCAAGCUACUCCAUCCCACUUAUCACAUCUCACAAAUUUUAUGAAAUAAAUAUAAGGUUGAUAUACUAUAAUGGACAUAUAAGGUUGAUAAUUUAAUCGUCGAUAAAUAUUAAAUCAAAUAUAUUGAUUUAAAUAAAUUAGUUUUUUUAAAUAAUUACUUUAUCCAAUUAAUAAUAAAUACAAUAUAAAUAUUAUUAAACUCUAUUUAAAACUUAUCAUCAAUUUAAUUAUUAUAAACUCGAUGAAUAUUAUUGAACUCAAUCCGAAAACUUAAUUAUUUAUUAAGAUGAGUACGUAGAAUCCAGAUCUGUCCGUAUGAUUUUUCAAUAACUAGUCAGCCACUCAAUAAUUGCUUAUUUAAGCAAUUUUAAUAUUUCAACUUUGAACUGGUCUUAGGAUAUAUAUAUAUAUAUAUAUAUAUAUAUAUAUAUAUUGAUGUGAUUUGAUUCAAUUAAAAUCAAGGAAUGGAAAGCAGAUUUUCCGCUUAAAGACAGAAAAUAAAUUCUAAAGGAGGAGGAAAAUUCAUGCUUUGAAACUUAUUUCGCAAACACUUUUUCUACAGUUAGAAAUUCAACACUGUGCAUUAAUUUUAACAUCAAGAAAUUUAUAUAUUUAUUAGAAAGAAUCCCACUACCCGAAUGUUAGGAUAAAAAAUUAAUGUACCAGUUUAGUGGAUGAAAUGUAAUAACGGUGAUAGUUCAAAGUAUUUUUUUAUUUAGAAAUAUAUUAAAAUAAAUUUUUUUAUAUUUUAAAAAUUAUUUUUAAUAUUAAUACGCUUAAAACGAUUUAAAAAUAUAAAAAAUUUUUACUUAAAAAAAAAAUAUAAUUUUUUUAAAAACACCAUGCAAAACCACGUCCCAGUCACUCCCAAACUAUCAAUUACUCGUUUAGCUUCAAGGACAAGAUGGGUUCUCUCAGCUUUUUCAAUCCAAAACUAUAGAAUCUGUGGUUUUAUAUCGAAAACUUAAAAUCUAGUUUUCCUUUCUUUUCUUUUUAUCUCUAUUUUGGAACUUUUUGAUUUUUUUUUUUUGAGUUUUUUCUCGUAGUAAACACAACUUUUAUAACAGCAGUUCUUCUAAUCAAAUAACUUCGGUAUUUAAUCACCACAACUACAAUAAGCUAUAAUUUAUAGAAAUGAGCGGACUUAAACUUAGGGUUAAGAUUAUCCAAGAUUUCACUUAUUAAACAUAUAUAUAUAUUUUAUGAAUUUUUAUUUAUAAAACCCACAUCAUUCUUGAAACUAUUCUGAUUUAGAGUUGAGAAAAAAAAUUAUAAUUACCGUCGCAACUAGAAUCAAACACAGCUAAAAAUGACAAUGUCAGAAAUGAUAAGCAUUGUUAAAUCAAAUCAAACACAGCUAAAGGCACGUAAGCAUUGUUAAAGGGUUUGUCCAUAUGCAUAAACAGUUCGUAAUGUUACCAUCUGUGGUGCAGUGAUUUGAAGAAUUCCCUCUUCUGUAAAAUGAGGCGGUCGUCUUUGGUAUAAUGGUAUUCCUGAAUUAUCUAUCGCAUCAGUCAAAAGUGUGUAUUUGCAGUCAAUACAUGACAAGACAUAAACUUACCUAUUUUUUAGUCAUGAAGGAACGUGCAUGCUAGUGGGUUGGAAAUUUGAAACCACGACGAAUCAACAGCUAUUGUCAACUGUUGUUUUACAGCCAUGCUAAACCCUGAUGAUUUAAUUUCCCUGUCUACCUUUCUUGAAGAUCUUGAUAUGUGUAAGAAGUUAAUUAUGACACAAACUAGAAAAAAUGUAGCUAGCCGGCGUAAUGUAUUACACCGCUAUCUGAUAACCUUCCGAUUUCCAUUUUAAUGAUAUAUCACUGGGUAUACAUAUAUACACGCACAUACUUGAAUUAGAUCACAUAAAACAUGGUCUCAAAGCCUAAACUACAUGAGAUAAUCUUCAAUGGAGAUGUUUAAAUCGUCCCCUACUCUCGUUCCGAUAUUGUUUUCAUGCCAGUUCUCGCAACGAUUACUACUAUCACCACCACCACCUGCUGCAGGUUCCCAUAACUGUGUCUGUGGCCCAUGAUUAAUCGCAACAUUCUCAGGUCCAACCUUGACCUCGUUUUGGAGCGACCUGUUCAGUAUCAUCUGAGCAUCGAUUGCCAUCCCAGCAUCCGACGCAGCUUUCUGUAUGGACUUGGGUGACAUGUCUUCCCUUACACUUGCAGGCAACAUUAGGGGGAAAUUCAGACUCUCUAACGAAGAAGGCCCACGUAAACAAUAAGAAGCUAUGUCAUGAGCCACCGCAGCUGCCUCGGGUGUAGAAUAAGAACCUAACCAAAGUCGUUCUUGCUUCCCAGGAAUCCUUAUUUCAGACACCCACUUGCCCCAUUUUCGCCUUCUUGCUCCCUUGAAUUUCCUUUGAGAUGCACUUGCUCCACUUUCUUGAUCUAUUAUCCUGCUGCUGCUGCUGCUGCUGCUGCCGCCGCUGCUACCACUCAUCCUUUCCUUUCCUUUCCUUUGAUUCUUUAUGGGUUUUACACGUAUUUGUGAGUACUUCAAACUUCCUUGAAACGCUCAAGAGAGCCUGUAAGAUAAAGAAACGCUGGAGUCCUUAUAUAGGUUGAGGAAGUACGAAGUCAAAGCCAAAAUAUAAUAUCUACUCUAAAGUCAAAAUCUUCAAGGUCAAAGUAAUAAUAAACGUAUAUUUUUUAGUUUCUAGGCUUACAAGUGGGCGUUGCUUUUGAAGCUUCGGCGGAUCCAGGUUGGGCGAGAGGAAGUGGAAUGGACAUUUGGAGAGAAACAUGAGGCUCUGGAAAUUUUAUGGAGAAGAGUGUCUUACUUGGUCUUUGGCUAAAAAACGUGUUGAUGAACUUUAAAGCUACUCGCCCCCAAAGCAAUAUCUGGAAAGGUCGAGGAGAUUAGACUUUAAUUAAACCCACGCGUAUUGCCUAAUUGCGUCACAAAUGACGUCAUUUAUAAGUCAACCAUUGUCUCCAUUUUCAAGGAAUCAGGAGUCGUCGACGGAUCCAUCAAUUAUACUAAAUCCGUUUUAAUUUCUUAUGCAUCUUUAUAUAUAUAUAUAUAUAUAUAUAUAUAUAUAUAUAUAUAUAUAUAUAUAUUUUUCCUGCUCUGGAUUCUAUUUUUAAUUUUAAAUUUAAUUACUUGAAUUAAAUAAAAAAUAAAAAGCAAAUAUUUAAGUUAUUUAUACUCAAUAUGUGUUUAUCUUGUUUUCAAUUUUAUAUUAAAAAUUGCUAAAUAAAAACUAAUUUUUCUUGUUUUCAAUAUUUUAUAAUAUUUUAUAAAAAUUAACUCAUAAACCAAAUUUAAAAAGUUAUGAAUAACAUUGGAACUCUUAGAAAAUUAGAAGGGUAAAAUAUAGAAAUUUCAAACUAUAAGAAUAGACGUGAAGUAUUUAUGAUCAUUGAUAGGGACAAAAUCAAAGCUUACGGAUUGUUCCCCACAGAAACGGCAUUGCUCAACCAGUUCCUCAAGCUCAAGCUCAAGUCAACCCAUUACCCAUUAAUGGAGGUUGGUUGACAAGCACCGUCUAAUUUGCUCUUGUCUAUCACGUGAUAUUAUUAAUGCUUUAAUUUUUUUUUAAUAAAAAAAUCAAAUCAGUACUCAAAACUCAUGGGAUAAUUUCAAGUAAGCCUGAAUUUAUAUUCCCAGUUUUCAAUUAUUUCAAUGUAGAACUAACUAGCCACUAAAUUGAAAAACAAAACCUUGUCUUCAAUUAGUCUAUGAAUAAAAUAAGUAAACUUAAAAGAGAUAGAGAUAAGCAAAAGCACAUUUACAACAAAAUAGUCCCUAAUAUGAUAAAGUUGACACAUGUGCCCCUGUUAGUAUUUUUGCUAGAUGAGUGCAAAAGCCAACAACAUAUGGAAAAAUUUAUUUAGAAUUACACCUUAGCAGUAAAAUACGUAUAAAUUGUCCUACAAUCUAUUUUGAUUUGUAACAAUUUGCCAAAUUUACAAAAGCCAGUAACAAUUAAACAUUAAGGUUUGAUGGUCAAUUAGAGGUCUUGAUUGAAAAAAAUUCAAAACUAAGGAUCAAACUAUAAAAGACACAAGACUUCAGGAACUCAUGACAUUAGUUCAAUCAGGGGUCAAAUUGAAAAAAAUUAAAAGUUUGAUGGUCAAUUGGAGGUUAAUUUGCAUAAACCAGAAACCAAGGACUAAAAGAAAAAAAAUAAUAAACUUUGGAGUUGGUAAUUAAAUUUGACAAUGAUGAAAUUGUAUAAAAUUAAAAGUUAGAGUGUAAUUAAUGUUGCUGGAUGUUUGGAAGAUGUAUGAAUGAUUGUUUUUGAUGAAAUAAAUAAAUUUGAAAUUUGUCAAAUAUGACAAUUGGGAUGUCUUUUUGGUUUGUUAAGUGCAUGUUCUUGACUUUUGGGUUUUGGUUGAGUCCUAUAAAAUGUUAAAAUGCUAGUUUUGAAUAUCAAAUUGUCAAAUAUGCUUGUUGUUUUAAUUUGGUAGUUUUUGAAAAGUGAAAUCUCAUACAUAAUUUUGAUGAUUUGAUGUUAUUCAUUAGUUCUUUUGAAUCAAAUAUGCUUGGUAUUGUCAAUGUGGUUUGUUAGAACCGAAAGUAGCGGGUUUAGAGGUCAAAAAUGUAUUUUCCAAGGGAUGGGCAUUAGCUGAGCAUUUUCUGGGUUUCUUUGGGUUUUUGUUAUGUGUUCUUGGAAAGAACAUUGCAUUGGCUUCAUGAUUUGGAUCAAUUUGGUCCAAUUUUUUGCACCAACAACUUCCUUAGACUUGAUUAAUAAAUAAUAUAAAGUUAGUUUGCAUCAAUAACUAUUUUUUUUCCUGAGUUUUAAUCACAAGGUUUUGUUCUUGCACUGAAACCUAUUCUGAUCAAAUCAUGAUUAUAGGUUGAUAAUCAAUGUUUUUUGAUGAUUGAUUCUUGUUCCUUGAAUGAUUUCCAGCAUACCUAUGCCUUUGAUUUUGUUGUAUCUGGCCGGACUUGAGAGUCAUGUGAUUGAGUGUGCUUUGAAUGUUUCUUCGUAUUCUUGAGUUGUAUGGGUUUGGAUUUGUUUUGACAAGUUUUUUCAUGUUUUUGGUUUUGAUUUAGGCCGAUAUAAUUUAGAAACACCUUUAGACCAUAGCAACCACAAACAAAGAAAAACGAUGCAGUUAAUUUUAAGUAAGACGUACUAGGGGUGUUAAUACUUUUCCCUUAUACAACUAGUCCCUUACCUAGAAUCUCUAAAAAGUAAUUAGAGUUUGUAUUGAUCAUAAUACUAGAUCCCAACUCAUUAUCCAACAAAAGACCUCUCAACCCACACGGUAAGGAUCGCCAUGAUAUCACUCUCAUACAACAAAAAAAAAUGUUUGAAUUCAAGAUUUCUUAAAGAAAAGGACAAUAAUAUCGAUUAAUUAAGCUACAACUCGUUAACAUACCUUCCACACACACUUUGCAUUAUGUUAUAUAUUUUUUAGAAUAUUCGAACUUAAUUAAACAUCAUCUUUUAGCAAAUGAAAAUCCUUCAAGAUCACAUGGAAUGAUGGAAAGUGGUCUUGGUCACACAACACAGUGAUUUUGCAAAAUAAUUUUGUUUCAAUGCAAAAAUAAAUGUGCAGGAUUUUUCAUUGUAUUUUUUUAACAAAAACAAUUCUAAUAAUAAAUAAAAAAGUUGGUGCAAAUAUUUAAUUAAAUAAAUUGAGAAUCAUAUAUUUCCAAUAAAUACAAGAAAAAAAGAAAGAAAAGAAAGUGUUAAUGAUAUCCAAAGACUAAAUUAAAAAAUUGAGAGAUGGAUGUAAAUCAAAAUGUUUGAUAUCUCAAUACAGGUCAUGAAUUCAAUUGUGUUUAAUAAUUUUAUUUCUUAGAAUUAUUUUAUUUAUUUAAUCAGACAAUAAUAGAAAUAGACACGUACAUGAAAAUGAUUGAAUAAAAUCCAAGGAAAAAAAAUAUUAUGCAAGGUUUUAUAAAAAAACAUCUACUAAUAUCAGAAAACAUUUGAAAGCCGAGUAAGAAUUAAACAAUAUUUAACCAAAAACUAAAUUAAAAAAUUAAAAAAUUAAAAGAUUGAUGUGUAUUUAGAAAUAUGGUUUUGAAACACGAGCCACAAUGAUAAUAAAAAAACAUGCAUAGAAAUUAAAACUAUAGGGUCUAAGGAAUAAGAAAAGAAAAAUAAGCGGAUUGAAAAGAACUUUUUCAUAUGAUUUUGAGACCAACCAUGCAAUUUCUCAUUGUUUUACACUUUAAUACUCUUUUAUUAGAAUUUUUCUUUUCUUAAUAAAUUUUUAGAAAUUGAUCAUUAAUUUGGUCAUAGAAUGCAACAAUUAAUAAAAAAAAGUUUGAGGACAAACUUAAUUUUUAUUUUUGUGAUUUUAUGAAUUGCUAUAAUAAUUGACCUAGUUGUUUUAGUGUAUUUUAUAAUGCAAUUGUAAUAAUAAUAAUCAAUCCAAAUUCAUCAUAUAAAAAAUAACAGACGAGGACACAAAUUCAUUCAAAUACAUUUUAUUCUACAAAUGGUUAAAGAGUAGGACAAGAAUAAACCAAUUACAGAUGAUGGAUUUAAUUUUAUAAUAAGAUUAAUCAUACCCACAGAUAAAAGCACUAAUUAAUAUACUUAAUCACGUCUCCACCCCCACUAAUUAAUAUAUUAAUAUUUUAUAUACCUCCCACUAUAUUCUCAAACACAUGCUAAAUAUAUAGCAUAUUGUAUAUAUAAAUAAAUCUUUCCCACCUUACAUUUAAAUAUAGUAAUUCAAUAUCAGUCAAACUAAUUAUUUAAUAUAUUAAUAAAACCAAUAGAAUUCUCUAGAAUCAAACUAAGGCUGCGUGACAUGCAUUAAGGGAUGAUCAUUUUUUGUUCGGUUCGGUUCGGUUUUUAUAAAAAAGAAGUAAUCAAACCAAUUUUUUUUUUAAAAACCGAAACCGAACCGAAACCGGUUCAAACCAACCAGUUUUGGUUUUUUAGGACAAAAACCGGUUCAAACCGGUUUGGCUCGGUUUUUUUUCCGGUUUGGGUUUGGUUCGGUUUUUUUGGUUUCAGGCUUAUAAAACCAAAACCGAACCGAACCGGUCGGUUUUUCAAAAAUUUUAAUCGGUUUAAUCGUUUUUUUUUCACGGUUCGGUUUUUUUAGUUAUUUUUUUUCUGGUUUUCUCGGUUUUUAGUUUUUUUGCUCACCCUUAAUAUGCAUGGAGGGUCUCUCAUUGGGAAAGAAGGAGAAAAGGGAGAAGAAGAUAAAUACAGUAAACGAAGAAAACUGCAAUUAGGCAAUAAUGUGAUUCAUCGAAGAAGACAGGACAACUUGAAACUUUGAUCAAUUCUGGUUGGUAGAGAAUAAUACGAGAUUUGAACUUGAAAAUUAGAGUCUUAAUUUCAUCAAUUAGCAGAGCUUUCACCGACCUCCUUUUUUCUUGUUUAUUUUCUCUUAACAAUCAAUUCUUUGAAUCUUUGACUCUCUUUUGUUUAAGCCAGGGAUUUGUCAAUAGCACCAACCGGAAAACCCAAGUGGAAGAUCAAACAAGGAACAGGAAAGGUUAAUCAGAGCAGAACAGAAAAAAAAAGAGGAAAAAAGGGGGGGAAUUAAUAAAAUAAAUAAAAGUGAAUAUGAGAAAUAUAGUUUUUUCUGUUUUUAUUAUCUAUUCUCCAGCUAAAUUAAACGUAAUGAUGAUAAAAUCAUCAGUAAUUUAUCUUUUUUUUUUUCUAGGAAUAUGGACUAGGAAACAUUCAGUCAAUCUGCAUAUAAUUAAUGGCUGUUUGUGGCUCAGAAAACAUUGAAUUCUCAGCUUUACUUUGAAAAACAUACCUUGAAUUAAUGAUUAAGAGAAUUGACUCGAGGGUUUGGAGUCAAAGGAGUUCAAUUUUGGUUAAUUACGGGUGAAUGAAUCUAAGAAGACAGCUGGGAAAUAGAACUUCCAUGUUUUCCAUCGUUCUAACCUUUUAUUUCAGGUUCAUUCUCCCCUGGUCUGAAGAAGUCUGGUUCAUGUUUUAAGCUCUGAUCCUUCCUUUGACUCGCUUAAUUUCUUCCUUAUUGCCCAACUUGCAAACACUACAACAUUAUCCAGUUUUACCGACGGACUCAUUCCGUCGGUGACAGUAAUGAAAUCCGUCGGUGAAAAUAAUACCGACGGACUCACCGACGGAACACGUCCGUCGGUAUAACAGUCGUCGGUAAAUCCCAUUUCCGUCGCUAAUUCUGUCGCAAAUAAAAAAAACCACCCACCGACGGAAACACCGACGGUAAUACAGACGGAUACGCGCGCGCCAAAAAAAAUUCCACGCGGGAACAUUACCGACGAAUUUUCCGUCGGUAAUUGCAAGGGUAAUUACCGACGGCAUUCCGACGGCUUAUCCGUCGGUAAUUAUGGCAUGACUUGUAAUUUUGUUGCAACUCUCUGUGUAAUACCGACGGAUAUUAUCAACAUUUUUAAAAUAAAUCAACAAUAACAAUUAUAUUUAUAAACUAACAUUUUUAACAUAAAUUCAACAAUAACAAUUAUAGCAAUACAAACAAUAAUAUCAAAACUAAAAAACUAAAAUUAAUAAAUAAAAUUAAAAAACUAAAAAACACUACACAACACACAACAUAAACACAAAACAAACAAUACACAAAAUUAAAAAACAUUAUAUCAAUUCAAAAUAAAUUUGGGAAUAAAAAAUACUUACCUUAAUAAUGUGUUGAAUUUAAGAUUUUAUCUACAAAACAAUAUACAAAACAAAGAACACCAAAAUAAAUAAUCAUAAUUAAAAAAAAAAUACAAAGAUAAAGAAAAAAAAUACAUACCUUUUAAAACUAAAUGAGAGAAGAAGAGAAAGGGAGAAGAGGAAGGGAGAAGAGGGGGAGAAGGGGAGAAGAGGAGAAGCGGGAGGAGAAGAGGAGAGAAGAGGAGGGGAGAAGAGGAAGGGAGAAGAGGGGGAGAAGGGGAGAAGAGGAGAAGCGGGAGGAGAAGAGGAGAGAAGAGGAGGGGAGAAGAGGGGGAGACGAGGGGGGGAGACGAGGGGGAGAGGGAGGAGACGGUGCGGGGGUGGUGGGGGUGGCGGUAUAUAUAGGUAAAUUCCGACAGAAUUACCGACGGCACUUAAUUGCUGUCGGUGCAAUUAAUUUCCGUCGGUAAUUCCAUCGGAAAUUAAUUGAAAUGCGCACCAAAAAAGUUUGAAAAUCCCGCCAAACUUUUCGAUCCGUCGACAAUACCGUCGGCCAUUCCGUCGGUGAUGGUGCAGACGGACACGUGUCAGACAUGCGUGGUCCGUCGGUAGGUGACGUCGGUAAUGCCGUCGCUAAUCGUGCAGACGGACACGUGUCAGACAUGCGUGCGGACAACCCGUCGGUGAUUCGGUUUGUAUUAGCGUCGGAAAAUCCGUCGGAAAAACGUCGGUGAGUGUGGCAAAAUCCCGUAAUUUUUUUGCAACUCUCUGUGAAAUACCGACGGGUUAUAUUCCGUCGGUAUAUCCGUCGGUGAAAAGGUAAAUUUUUCUUAUGUUUUGUAUGUAACCCUCUCAAAAAAUCUUGAAUUGCAAACUAAAAAACACACACAACACAAUAACAACGGCUGACCCUUAAAGAAGAAUAAAUAUUUCAUGUUUCAAAUUAUUACAUUAUAAAAAUAAGGCUUUAUAACAUGUUUAGUUAGUCGGAAUUUUCAUCUUCGUCCUCCAUUGAAUUGUUAUCAUCAGCUUCAUCGCACUCUUCAAUUUCGUUAUCAUCUUCUUCAACAACAUUCUUUUUUCCACUAGUAGAGCUCAGAACAACAUUCAACUCCUCUGCGUCAACAUCAACAAGACUAUUGUUGAAAACGCGAAAAUUCGAAUUUUCUUCUAAGUCAAUCGACGGAGCAACUCGGUAUGGUUCAACCAACUCACUAGCUUGAAAGACUUCAUCUAUCACACUUGUGUCUUCGUUCUCAUCCUGAACAACCUCGACACGACCCUAGGGUUUUGUUUUUAAAACGGAUAACCAAUCACUCGGUCAUCUCGACAUUUUCAAGGUAGUAUAACAUGCAAAAGUUAGGGCAUAUAUCAAUUUUCUGGUAUCCUAAACCGAGGGGUUUCAUCAUGGACUUGGCAGCAUAGAAGUUCUCUUUCAGCCUGUUCCCUUCAGGUAAAAUGCUUCUCGCCCAUUCAAUAAUCUUGUCAUAACCGGCCUCACUCAACCCGUGAUCUGACUUGAUGGUGAACACCUGUGCUACGGCUGAUAAUUUACUGUGGUUCGUGCAGCCAUCCCAUAAUGGUUCGUCAGAAUCUCUCAACAGAUCAAAAAACCUUGCUGCAUCUGCAUUAGGUUCUUCUUCUACGAUUGGACAUUCCCUGACAUUAUCUUCACUCAUUCUCAUUGCAUCCAUAACCAUAUUCCUGUAAGGAUUACUGUUCUCAUUUCCAACUUCAUGCAUGUUACUAGCACUAGAAGUUGAACCAACCACCUGUUCUUCCAUGCUCUCAUCAGGAACAAAUAGUUCUCCGUGAGCAUACCAACACAGGUAAUCUUCCAUGAACCCUUUGGUUAGAAGAUGCAUUAUUACAACAUCUUGAUGCAGAAACUUUAAAUUUUUACACUUCCUGCAUGGACACCUAAUACCGCCAUCAGUAAAAUUCCUCGGAAUAGAUGUUGCGAAAUUAAUAAAACCCUGGACACCGUUACAAUAAUCCAUCCUCCGCAAUCCUUGGGGUGAGUCCCGAUACAUCCAUGAACGAUCAUCCAUGACUUCUAUUGAACCUCUAUAAAACAUAACAAAAAUAUUGGUUUUCCCCGACAUUAUCCAACAAACUAAAACAACACUUAUGUUAAAUAUUCAUUAUCAAUUAUCAACUAUCAACGUUCAUACAUACAAAUUUAUACAUAUAUAAAUUUACAAAAUUAAUCACAACUUCGAAAUAUAAUUGAUAACAAUUAAACAAGACACUUAAACAAGCUAUUAAUUAUUUAUUUCAUCACAACGACACAUUUAAUUCGGUGUAAUUCAAACAAAAUUUCAACAAUUUACAAACAAAUAUAAUUUGACAAAAUCUAAAACAACCUAUAACAAUUACAAAAUUAUACAUUCAUACUACAAGUUUCUUUGACAAAUAACAAUUAAACAAGUACAAACGUUAACAAAAUACAUAUACUAAAACAAUAAAAUUCACAAUUAAAUAUUAAAACUACAAAGGAUAGAUUUACUUACAAAAAAAUGAUAAAAUCUACAAGAAACGGAUAUUGUGACCACGUACAAGAUAUAAGAAACUUGAGUGCUCGUGUUGAGAAUAGUGGAGAGUUUGGGAUGGGUGUUUGGCUGCAGUUUGGGAGGGGAGAGGUGAGAUGGGAAAGAAGAAGAAGGAGAAACAGAGGAUGAGAGUGUCGGCAGAUGGGUGCAUAUAAUGGUUUUUUCCGACGGAAUCACCGACGGAUUCCUGCCGUCGGUGAUAGCGCCACGUCACUGUACGGCUAUCACAGUUUGAAUCCCUCGGUAAUUUCCGUCGGUAAAAUCGCCUGACGUCACCAUGCCGUUGCGUAUUUCCAGACGAACUGUAUAUUCCGUCGGCAAACCGACGGUAUAUACCGACGGAAAUAUUCCGUCGGUACAUACCGAUGGAAUUACCGACGGAAUGGGUCCGUCGGUAUAUACCGACCGAUUUUGAGACGGAAUUAUUUCCGUCGGUAUACAUUACCGACGGAAAAAUUCCGUCGGUAAUUCCGUUGCUUUUCUCCGGUUUUCUGGUAGUGAAAAUUUAAGGGAAAUGGUACGCUCGAACACACCCAGCAUAGUUUUUUUAGUCCUAAACUCUUAUGAUUAUGCAAAUAAGUCCUUCAAUAAAUGGAACGAAGACUCUCUCUUUUCUUAUUUGCUCAAGCCUAAAUGUGUAAAGAUUCCUUCAACUAUCGAUUAUUCUGAUUGACACCCUUUAUAUUUUUUUCUUUUAAUUUUUAUAUAUGAAUUAUCAUAUGCUUGGAUUAAAACCCCUCUUGUCAUCCUUAUCCUUGGGAUUCACCUUUGUGACCACUAAAUCAACUCAAAAGACGACUAAAACAUAACUUUCAACCUCCCAAAAACCAUUCUUAUACUCAAAUCAAACUCAUACACAUAUUAACAAUUAGGCUUGAAAUUGUAGUAAAAAUAUAAAAUUGAAAGAUAGGAGACUAAAAUGCAAAAAAUAAAGAAAAUAUAGCUAACUCCAUGUUAACGACCAUCUUUAUUUUGGAACAAAAUUUUAUUUUCUCUUUUUUUUUGUCCCUGAAAUGAAGAGAGGCAAGGAGAGAGAAACUAGCCUAGAAAUGACAAGGAGAGAGAAAGUGAUUGGUUUGACCACUUUUCAAUGAUGAAACUCGUCGUUCUUGAUGUCAAAGGGUUUCAUUCAAUGACAACAAUUCGAUUGUUGUGUGUUUUGUUUAUAAACAUGUCUUAAAAAGUGAUUGGGUUCCGUCUUGAAUAUAUUUUAUUCUGUUGAGUUUUAUUUUUAGCUGAUUUUGAAGGUGUUUUGGAGCUACUCAAUGGUUUAUAAUGAUUUGUAUGGUAUUUAUUAGGUGUUUUUAGAUAAAAAUAGAUAGUAGUUAAAUUCAGUUUGAUAGUAGAUAAAGGUGCCUUAAAAAGUGAUCGGUCGAACGAUGGUGAUCGGCUGAUUAUUGCACAGCAUUUCAUAUUGUAGUGAAAUACAGUUUGAUAGUAGGGGGGAAAAGAGCCACUGAAAAUGGUUACAAUCUCUGAAAAACAAGCAAGCAAUAUAUGAUGUUAUUCUAUAUUUUUCUUCAAAUUUAUUUAUUCUUUUAUUAUAGAACUAAUUAAUUGCUAAGAGGUUUGUUAUUAAUUUAGAGGACCGGUUUACCAGGGGUUUCAAAGGACAAUACAGGAGGAAGAAGAAGACAUUCAGCUCCUAAUCUCUUCAAAGAUCAGUCUGCCAAUGAAUCUCUUUUAUUGUUAUGAUGACGACAUUCUCUCCAAUACCGAAGAGCAAGUGGUGCUUUAAAUUAACCUAGCUAGUGGCACGUGUUUUGCAUUAGGAAGGAUUAAUUAUAUAUAUAUAUAUAUAAAUUAACCUAGCUAGUGGCACGUGUUUUGCAUUAGGAAGGAAUAUGUGUUUUAGCAGUAUUUCUUGAUAAAAUCUGAAAAAAAAAAGAUAAGAUGACCAAGCUCCAUUAUAGGUCUGAUAAAAAUAUAAAUUUCAUUGCAGAAAGAAAAAUGUAUUUAUAGGUGUUGUUAAUGUUUUAAUGAAUUUCAAUUUAAAUCAAAGAAAUUUUGAGUUGAGCUUUGCCUUGGGUGUUAAACUAAAUUGGGUUGGAUUUUAUUUUUAUAUGAUCCGAUUAACUAAGCAAGUUAAAGUUUGAUUCAAUUGACUUAACAAAAACAUAAUUUAACUAAAAAGAAUUUAAGACAACAAUGUUUUAACAUUGUUAUUCAAAUAUUGAGACGAUGAUAUCUUGGAUCGAUCCGAGUUAACCCGUCAAAUACAUUAUGAAUGGUGGUAUAAAAGAGCACUUGCAAAUAUAAUAAUAAAAAAUAUUAUGGUUUUUUUUUAAAAAACUGAACGGUAUUCAAUAAAAAAAAUCUUAAAUAAUUUAAAAUUACAAGAAAAAAAUAAAGAACAAAACAUGCUAGAUGUUGGGGCUUGGGUGGGAAAGCACGCCUAACCCAUAAAAAAAAAGGAGGCCAAACAUACUUCUUAGCUACCGUUUAAUACUUCUUAGCUACAAUAGAAAAAAAAAAAAAGACUAGGGCUUUGUUUCGGCGUCAAUUUUGAUCUUCAGAGUUUUAAUUACGAUUGAUCAAAAAAAUUAAAUUAAAUUUUGUUAAAUCAAACAUCAAUUUAAUGUUGGAACCUUUUUCAACAUUGUGAGAAAUCUUUCCAAAGUUAACUGAAACAAAUUAUUAAGUUUAAUUUUAAAUAAACUAAAUGUAAAACGAUCAAAUUAUAAAAAUAUUAACUAAAAAAAAGGACAAAAAAAGAAAAAUAUUGUGUAAAUCCAUAGUGAACUCUCUUAUAGGCUACCAUUUAAUCUUGAGUCUUUUAGUUUUUUUUUUAAUUUAAUUUUAAUUGUUGUAAUAACAUUAUUUGACUGCAUUUAGUUUUAAUAGCAUUUAUGAUUAUUUAAUCUCUCUCUUUCCCUUUCUGAAUGUGUAGGCUGACCUCUCUUUUUUUUUCCUUUUAGAAAUUCUUUUUCAUCUUAUUCCAUUUAAGUAAAAUGCUUCUCUCUCAUUUAAUAAUUAUGUAGUAAUCAGCUUCUCUCAACCCAUGAUCUAACUUGAUGGUGAACACUUAUGCAACAAUCGAUAAUUUACUGUGAUUUAUACACUCAUCUCAUAAUGGUUCAUUGAAAUCUUUUAAAAGAUCAAGAAACCUGGUUGUGUUUGCAUUUGGUUCUUCAUCUACAAUUGAACAUUCACCUGCAUAACCUUGACUCAUUCUCAUCGCAUCCAUAAUCAUAUUCCUAUAAGAAUUAUUAUUGUUAUCUACAAAUCCAUGCACGUUGCUAGGAUUAGAAGUUGGCUUGGCCAUUUUUUUUACUAUGGUCUUGUAAGGAACAUAUGGCUCUUCGUGUGCAAACCAACACAGGUGUUUCUCCGUGAACCCUUUUUAUAAAAGAUGUAUCAUUACAACAUCUGGAUCGAGAAACUUUUAUUUCUUACGCCUCUUACAUGGACAUCUAAUACCGCAUUCACUAAUAUUUCUUGGAUUAGAUAAGGCGUAAUUAAUAAAACUCUCAACCCCAUUACAAUAAUUCAUCCUUUUUUUUGGAUUCGAGGAAACCCCACUCCCCGGAAAGCGCACUUUGUGGGCCUAGGUGAGCGAGUAAAACCCCGGCUGUCCCAGGCUCUUACAAGAGAUGCACACUCUGACUCGAACUCGAGACCUGCUGUACAGGUCUCAAGCCCUUUGCCAUCACGCUACGCCCCUUAAGGACACAAUUACAAUAAUUCAUCCUACGCAACUCUUCGGGUGAAUCUUGAUACAUCUAUAAAAGAUCAUCCAUUACUUAUAUCAAACCUAUAUAGAAUAUUGAUGACAACAUGUAUUAAUUAAUUAUGUCAACUAAAUAAAUUAGCAAAUAUUAGUUUAACUCAAACUUAUUCAAUCUAUUUUAAUAGUACUCUUAAAUCAUUAUCAAUUAUCUAUAUAAAUUCAAAUUCCUAUGCAUUUACUAAAAUUUUCUACUCAACAAUAAAAUUGACAAAAUAUAAAACGAGUCUAUUCAAUAAGUCAUUAUUUUUCUCAUUACAGAACACCUAAGUCACAAAUUUGAAAUCAAUUUCAUCAAAUUACAAAAAAAAAUAAAAAUAAUAUUCCAAAAUCUCAAACAAAUCCUAACAUGUACAAAUCAUACAUUCAUACAACAAAUUUCUAUGGAAAAAGGCUAUAAAACAAGCAAAUACACAAACAAACUAUAUAUACUACAAAAAUAUGCAAUAAAAACUAACAUUCUAAAAUUGAGUUAAAAAAAAAUAUGUAGUUUUACUUACUUGAUAUGAGGUGUUGUAACCCAUUUUUGGGUCCCCAUAAAAUAUAUAUAAAAAUAUAUAGCCAAAGGAGGUUAGAAAAAUAACAGGAGGCAGAAGCGCUCAUAAAAUGGUUGGAAAAUUGGUCAAUGAGGUUAAAAAUACAAGGAUGGAAUUUUUGAUAAUAUAUUCUUGAAGGAGGAGAGCCCUGUUGACAAGGAAAAUUUGAAAUUUGAGGAGAAAAGCCCAAAUUUGGAUGUUUAUGGACUUAAUUGGAUUUUUAAAUGAAUUUAUAGGAGAUUUGAUUGCAAGAAAAAUUGAUUUUUAAGUCAAUUUGGGCUUUAAUUAGAAGAAAUUUAAGUUCUGGGGCCAAAAUAUAUUUUUUAGGAAUUUAUUAGGUCAAAUCAGGGGCUUAAUUGCAUAAAUAUUGAAGUUUAAGGGCCAAUUGGGGACUUAAUUGAAGGAAUCCGAAACCAAGGACCAAAUUGAAGAAGGCGCGUAAGUAUAGGGGCUGGAAUUAAUUGAUUCAGGGGCCUAAUUGAAGAAAUUGGAAGUUUAUUGAUCAAUUAAGGGCUCAAUUGCAUAAUUCAGAGGCCAAGGACCAAAGUGAAAAACGCGGCCAAAUAUAGGGACGGGGUUCGAAUUCGGCAGGGAUGCAAUUGAAGGGACAAAAGAUAAUUAAGGGCUGCUUCGCAAAUUGACGCGUUUUGGCGUCUUGCAGGAUUUAAAUGAAACGGCGCGUUUUAUCCAAAACGACGCCGUUUCAUCCAUUCAAAAAAAAAAAAAAAAAAAAAAAGAGCAGAACGGUGUCGUUUUGAACGACACUGUUCAUCUUCUUCCCCCGAUCAUGCAGCGGGGAAGAAGGAAAAAGUUUGGCUUUAAUUUGAAUUCUGCCGGCCACUCUCUCGCCUGGAGCCCACCGACCGGACACAAUGGCCGACCACCCACCGCGCACCUACCAGAAAGCCGAGGAGGGGGGGCCGCGCCUUGGCAGUCGCGCCCCAUGGCCGACCGGCCGGUUGCUCCCCAUGCUCCACAGUACAAAGACACUCACUUGGCCCUAUAAAUAACAGCCAACACAGCAGCAAUGAAGGGGGGGGACGGAGAGAAAAAAAGAGAAGAGAACAGAGGGGAGGAGCAAGGAAAAAACGAAAAAACAGAGGAGAGAGAGGGGAAGAGAUAGAACGAAGGAGAGAGAAGGAAGAGAGGAGAACGAAAAAAAAAACAGCGAAGAGUAACGGGAAGAGAGGAAGGACCAACCCGAAAACAAAAGAAACCGAGAAAACAAAGAGAAAGGGAGGAACGGAGAGAACGAACCAAACCGUCGGAAACAGCCGCAGCGCCGCCGGGAGUCGCUGUCCGUGAACAAGUCGCCGCCACCAGCUUCCGCCACAGCACCGCCAGAAACGCAGGAAGCCACCGCCACCCCGCGCCAGGUAACUCUUCUCCCUCCCCUGUUCUGUUAUUCCUUUAUUUCCUUCUCUGCAUGCAGAACGAAUAGCGUUCUGCAUGCAGGGGUGGGGGGAAAUUAAUUCCCCCCGCCCGUUUUGAGUCUGGGCCAGGCGGGUCCUGGCCCAGCCCUGUCUUCUGGGCCGGGUCUGGCCCAGAAGAGAAUAUUUUUAUUUUGGGCCGAGAUCGGCCCAAUCCAUUUUGGGCCAAAAUCGGCCCAGCAAUUUUGGGCUGAGUCCGGCCCAGUCGGUUGGGCCGGACCAGCCCAGCCCAUUUAAUAUUAUAUAUUAUAUUAUAUAUAUUAUAUUUUGUAUUAUUUAUAUAGAUAUAUAUAUAUGAAAAAAUUACAAAAAUUCUUCAAAAAUUAUUUCAAAAAUAUGUGAUUUUCUGUAAUUUUAUUACUGUAUUUUGAUUAAUAUUGGUUGGUAUUUUAUACUGAAAAGAUACAAAUCCGGUAUUAACAUACCCGGUUUUCAUCAAAACAUCAAAGAUUUUCAAAAUAAAAAAUGUCUUUUGCUUUCAAAAAUUUUCUAAAAUAUCUUUGAGAAUAUUGUUGAUUUUUCUGCAUUUGCUUUAUCAAAGUAGAUUAAUAUUUGGUUGUAUUUUUAUACCGCAAGGAUACAAACCCAGUAUUAAAAAUACCCGAUUUGCGUCAAAACGUACAAAAUACAUAUUUAAAAAAUGUUUUGUUUUAAAAUACGGCCUAGUCUCUCCAAUAUAUAUAUAUAAAUAUUAUAAUAUCAUAUUUUCACACAACAAAGAAAAUUUCAAAAACAAUAUAUGUAUUAACAUGCAUUUCGGCUUUAAUAACCAGUUUAUUAAAGCCAUGAGAACUAGGCCAAUAUUUCAAAAAUUCUAAAAAAUCUUUUUGUCUUCUUUUAGAUUUGGGAUUACGAAUUUAUACAUAAAACGUAUUCCUGAUAUUAAAAAUAUGGUUUUUUUACAUAGAUUUUAGAACGGUUAGGUUUUACCCGAUAAGAUAAGGACCUCCUUAUUGAGGAGGACUUUUCUUGAACCGUAGACGGACCAACAACUAGGAAACACAACGAGACCUUGAAUUUUAUCAGACAAAUAAACAAUGCAGCUUACCUUAGGUAGGGCGUAUUUGGGGUGCUAAUACCUUCCCUUUACGCAACCAGUCCCCGUGCCCGAUCUCUGAGACCAGUUAGGGUUCCUAGUGACCAAAAUACUAGGUGGCGACUCCCACACCAUUUUUCACUACUAAGAGACAACGAAUUCCUUGUCUCCCCACAUUGACCAGAUAUAUACCCCCCCAUUCUAAAAUUGAGUUAAAAAAAAAAUGUAGUUUUACUUACUUGAUAUGAGGGAUUCUAAAAAAAUUUAAAUCAGAACAAGGAUGCUAGCAAACUGGGUGUUGUGAUGGCUAGAUUUAUGGUGGGAGAUUGAUUUGUGAUAAAAUGAGGGGGUCUGCUAUUUUUUGUAAAGUUGAUGGAAGAAGAAAAAAAAAUGGAGGAGGGGGAGAGGGGGUCGCUCGCCAAAUCAUAAUUUAAAAUUACCGAUGAAUUUAUGGAUGGAUUUCACCGACGAGUUCAAUUUGACAGUAAUUAUAUAUGUAUAAAUGACACGUCAUUGUAUCUAUUAGUUUAUUUUUAAUUUUUUCUAUUUUUAUUGUAAUUUUCUUGAUAUAUAAUAAGAGAAUAUUUUCAUUAGUGUUUACAAUGAAUAUUACAAGGAAAUUUUUCGUCAGUAUUUUUUUGUCAAUAUUUCCAUGCAUUUAUAUUUACUAAUUUUAUGUAGUGUGACAACCUUGCUCACCAAAACUACUCAGAACCCUACUACGUAUCCUCUGACAAUACAGCAAAGCCAAUAUAUAUAUAUAUAUAUAUAUAUAUAUAACAAAGCAAAGCCAACAUGCCAAGAAACCUGAUAGCCAAUCGCAUUAAAUUCUUCACCACAGUAAUAAGGGAUAAUUGAAAAAAAAAUAUAGUGUAAAAUUUUAUUGUGUUUUUACUUUCCCACCAUAAUUAAAAAAAUACAUUUAAAAUCCUAGGUCAAAUAAAAAUUUCAAAAAUAAUAAUAAGAAAAUAUUAUCAUAUAUAAUAUAACACAAAUAUUAACUAUAACUAUGAUAUCAAUUUCUUUAUACAAUUUCUUCCCUUUCCUUCUCUCCCAUCCCUUCUCAAUUAAGUUUCUAUAACUAAUAAUUAUCAACUUAUCUAUCAUUCAAUGUUGAUUAUAUAGGUUCCAAAUUAUAGCUAUUUGAUUAUAGAAUUAAAAAGUUAGUAAGCCAGAAGAUGAUUGCUUUUCAAAGUAAUUUUUGCUUGAAAAUACAUUAAAAUAAUAUAUUUUUUUUAAACUAUUUUUGACAUCAGAACAUUAAAAUAAUUCGAAAACAUAAAAAAAUAAUAUAAAAUAAAAAUAAAUAAAUAAAAAAUUUAAAACUUAAAAACAAACUAGUGAUAAUAAAAAGCACAACAUCAGAUGCAGUUAAGGAUUCGUAUAAGAUUUAAUCAAUUAUUUUUGGAACACGACAGUUAAAACCUUUGAAAUUGAAGCAUGCACCAUAAAAUGAUGAUGAUGGCCUUGCUGAACUGAACCAGAUUGCCUCAGGUUGUGGCUUACGUCGCCUUGCGUUGUGAUAGGAAAGACGUCUACGACAGCUUCGCUUCUUGUCAUCAAACUCUGACAAUUCACGGAACCUAAACAAAUUUUGCAUCCUAAAUGCAGCAGCAGCAGCAGACUUUAGCCGUAGAUAAUAACAUCAGAAAGCUUAGCAAAAGCAACAAAGCUAAAUCAUGGAGAUUAAAAAUGAAUAAUUACUAAGAAUUCCCCAAGAAUCAAGAUUCAUGAGAGAACCUGCCUGCUGCAAGAAUUCCCCAAGAAUCAAGAUUCAUGAGAGAACCUGCCUGCUGCACUUUUUUAUGGAUUCCUGAAAAGGAUUUGUGUUCAAGAAUUGAUCAUGAAUGAUAAUUUUGUUAUUUUGAGAUUUCAAAGAUUUUUUAGUCGUUAAAAUAAUAAUCUUGUAAAUAAUGAGAUAUAUUUAUUUAUUCCAAGAAUUUUGCGUCUUCUCAAUUAGGAUAUUUAUUCUGAGACUGAGAGGGUACGUAGAUAAAUUAUUUUGAAUUCAACAAUUUAACAUGACAUGAAAGGAACAUGCAUUAUAGAGAGGAUCUAAUUUAACAUGUCGUACAAUAAUAACUUAAUCUAUAGCCUUUUUUAUUUAUUUUCUUUUUAAUUUUGGUACAAUAAAAAGCUCUUCAAAUAUGUAGAAGAUAUAACAUAUUUAGAGUAUGAGAUGAGGCCAGCUUUCAACCGCCAUGAAUAUUUUCUAGUAAUUCCUUAACUUAUACUGCAUAUAGUUUAUUACUGAGUUGUUGCGUAAUUAAUUAAUUGGAAUAGAGAGCAUGUAUCCCAUCAAUAUCAUCCUGGGCGAGAUCUCUUUUCUUGCUUCCACGUUGUGUCGUUGGAUACAUGAUGGCUUCGGGAUGAUCUUUACUAUGAUAAAGGCCAAGCAGAUGUCCUAUUUCAUGAACAGUAACGGUUUCCAGGUCAAUUUGAUCCAUUGCCGGGUCAGUGCUCCAGUUCUCGUCUGCAUCGUAAUGUAGACGGCCGUCUUGUGGAUAAAAAGCAUGAGCCAGUUGAUUCCCUGGUCCAUCAAAAGGACUCUGGUCCCCAUGAUCGCCGCUGAAGAACUCAAUUACAAUAUCUGCUGAUGCACCGCCAGUCGCCUCCCGGAAAGUGAAUUUAGAAACCUUUGCCCAUGUCUGAAAAGCUUUUGAGCAGACCGACCUCAAGGUGUCCGAACCAACAACUUGGACACCUGAGCCAAAUCUGUAGGUCAGAGCAUACUUGGAAGGUGGCCACUUUUGUGCCCCGAAAGCAUAAUGAGCAACCACGUGGACCUUCUUGUGUUUUGAUUUAGUGCUGUUCGGUUUUGCGGACGGAGUGUUUAUGAUAUCAGGCAUUCCACAUCGUGGAAUCAUCAUUUGUUGUAUGGUACUAGAGUCAAGGUUACCAGUAACAUUCAGGUGAAAAUAUUCUUGAUAUGUUUUGAGUGCUAGCUCCAAGUGGUCAUCAAAAUCACUGCUUGUGAGAGUGAUAUCACUUGGGUAGUACCCAAACUUUUUGAGGUAUUGUUUGAGCUCAAUAAGCCCUUCCACAGUUUGGCCCUUUUGAAUCCCCUCCAGCCCUUGAAGGAAGCUGCUAAAAGAUUGCCGAUGCUCGGGUUUCAAAGUUCUUGCCUGACCUCUGAAGGACUGGAUAGAAAAGAUAACGAGGAUUGCUGAUAAAAGAUGGGAAAGUUUAGGAGCCAUAUCGUGUGUUGUUUCGGAGAAUGGCUUCAGACGUGGGUUGUGGCUUUCAAUUCUAGUAUCGGAUGGCUAUUUAUAGACAUAUAGUAUGUUGUAUUGGCAUUAGGACCAUAGUUAUAAAACCCGACCCGGUAGUUGACCCGGUAAAAUGACUGGGUCACGGGUCUUGGGGGUCAACCCGGGUUAACCCGGGUCAACCCAGGUCAAUAACAAAAGGAACACAUUAAUAUGGUUCUUUUGACAUAAAAUAUCACAUUAACAUAUAUGUUAGCAUAAUUAAUAAGAAAAUAUCACAUUAACAUAUAUACUAGCAUAAUUAAUUAGCAUCAAGGUGCAUUUAUCUUCAAAUAAAUAAAUAUUUAACAUAAUUUAAAGAUAUUAAAGAUAUGGAUAAUAAAAUAACAAGUUGUUCUAGAGACACAAAAUUUAACAUAAUAGAUAUAAGGGGACAAUAUUCAAACUCUAGUUUGCAUUAGAAUCUAUAAAUCAACAUUUUAACCCCAUUUUACAUUAGAAUCCAUAAAUCAACAUCUUCAGCUGCAUAAAAAAACAAAAGAUGAGUAAAAACCCAAGAGAGCAGCUACUGGCCUCAUCUGUGCCUUCUAGGAUCCGCUAGUAAAAAUGUCCAACAGAUAUCAAGUUCUAUAACAGUGUUUGAAAUUUGAACGUGAAACUUAUCAUAAAAAAUUCAAAUUUUAAUCACGGGAGCAUCCCGUGUAAACAAUAUUCUCUUUGUUUUUUUCCCCUUACAGCUAUGCUUUUUUCAUGCUUUUUAAUUUUUUUCCCCUUAUAGGACGAGCAAUCAAAUAAACCAAGAUGAGAAAUUAAGGAAACUGGGACUAUGAUAGACUGGGAAUGUAGAGAGAAGAAAUCACUAUGUUGUAUUCAACAUCAUGCCCAUUAUUGUUGCAUCAUGAAUCAGCUUCUUACUCAGUAUUAAUUCAAAUAAGAAAAUUAAAAAACUUGCAAUAUGGAACUCAUAGAAGCAAUGAGAAUAACUGCUCAUCAUCAUAAUAAUUUGAUAUUCAUCUUGCCAAAAAGCAUACAGGCAAUUUCAAUUCGGCAGAGUAAUGAUUGAUUCAUGGUACAGAGUAAUGACAGACAUGUAUGGCAGUAAUUGGUUUAAAUGAAUGUGCACAAAUUGGAUUAUUCCAGAUUAUAAUGUAAAAACAUCAUCAGAUAAAAGACUUGUAAAAAUAUUAAUUAUUCUAGAUUAUCAUACAGAGCACAAACCAAGAGGAGCAUGUUUUUUAUAAUGUAUAUUCAUUAAUAAAUUAUUAUGAAACUGUCCUGAGAAUGUUUGUUAUGAGAAAGUUAAAAAAAAAAAACAUGAAUUUAACAAAUAAUAAAUCAAUGACAGAAAGGGAAGUGAAAUGGGAGAUCCAAAAGGGGCUAGAAGAUUCAAAGACAAAAACCCAAAUGUGUAAAGCAAGUAGCAGAGCUGCAGAUGCGAAAAUCCAGAUGCGAAAAUCAUAAAAGCAAAUAAUUUGACUUGGACACAAUAUCAACGUAAAAGAGAUAGAGCACCUGUAGAUUUCUCCAAUGAACUCUCUGUUGAUUGUUGUCUAUUCUGCAGGAGAUACCGACAGAAGUAAAUCUCUUGGUUGUUGUCUAUUCUGCAAGAAAUUAGGGCAAAAACUCUAGCUUUCCUUUUGCUUUCCCUGAGUCAGUGAUCGUUCAAUAAAGUUAAUAUAUACACCGGUCUCACCCGGGUUAGCCUGGGUCGAACGGGUCACGGGUCGACCCACCGGGUCGACCGGGUUUGACCGGUUUUUUUCUUAGGCCGGUCUUUUGUCUUACCCGGAUCGGUCCAGGUCCCGGGUCGGCCAGGUCCCAGGUCGACCCGCCGGGCCGGUCCGAGUUUUAUAACACUGAUUAGGACUACAGAAUAUGUCUUGAGAUUUACUACUGUCCUUAUUUUUGUUAAUUCUAAUUGCUUAUUUUCAAAUAUUAAUUAUUUAGACUACAUUUGUCCUUCGAGCAUCUAAUUUAUUUAUUUUCUUUCAUAGUAAUCGAUGAAAUUACUAUCUAAAUAUUUGAGUUUAACUUUCAUUUAUAUGGUUAUUAUUAGAUAUCAUUAUCCAACAAAAUCAACAACCCUGAGGGGUAGCUUAACUAGUCAGGUCAUGAGUUUGCUCCUAAUGGUCACGGGUUCGAGUCCCCUCAGGGCCACUGGAGGCUUACAUGAUCAUUAACUUUAGGGCCCGUGGGAUUAGUCGAGGUACACGCAAGCUAACCCGAACAUUUAUGUUAAUAAAAAAAAAAGAAAGUACAUCUCUCUUCCGUGUCUCAUAAAUUUAAAUUAUUAAAUGACUAAUCCUAAAUUGAAUCAAAGUUUUAUUUAUCAUUUCAAUAAUUUUUUUUGUCAUUGUUAGUCUUGAAUGAUUAAAUAUAGUAUAUUAUUUUAAUAUAUCUUUUUUUUUAAUUCAUUUAAAUAAUGCUGCUGAGAAGGAGCACUCAAAAUAGAUGAUUAUGGGUUUCCAUAUGUAAACCAUACAAGAUACAUAUCACAAAGGUGAUGAUCUGAAAAGUCUGCAGUCUGCUCAUAGUGUGUAGACGACCCAAAAAGACAAGCCAUAAGAUGAAGGAGUGUCGUGGGACAUAUUUUGAAAACUAGAGAAGAUGGUGCAUAGUAUUCUUGGGCCUGGUAUCUCGAAGUGCCUCCCAAGCUGAAUCAAUAGUGAACCUCUUCAAAGAAUGACCUCUCCAAACAUAGUGAUCUGAAGAGUUAAUUGGGCAUGGAAUCUAAUGCAGUCCCAAAUUUGUUAGAGGUCCUAACUAUCUAAAGGAAAGUCCCAACCACCAUCCUUAAUAAUGUAUGCAUCCUUUGCAUCCCAAGAUAAUCCAGUAGAUGAUAAAGUCUUGAAAGGCAAAAAGUCACAAAAACAUUGUCCAUAUGACAAAUAAUAAUCUAGCCAUAGAGAAGUUAGAGAGCCAUCACCAAUGCAAGAUACAAACAUACCUCUACACCAAUCUUGACUAUGAAAAAUCUUUCGCCAUAACCAAAAAGAUACCAAAGGUAGCCUAUAAAAAAUGAUCUCCCUCUGAGCAAUACAGAAUGCACCUAAGCUAACCAAACUGAGGAUCUGUUUGAAAGUAGCCUCCAAAUAUGCUUGAGAAUAGCUGCUCUAUUUCAAGUCUUAACCCUUUUAAUCCCAAGUCCACCCUCCUGCAGAGGAUAGAAAACUAAAGCCCAAGCCGCUUUUACCCCUAAAAGGGAAGUAGAUGAACUGUUCUAGAGAAAGGCAAUUAACAUGCCCUCAAUCUCCUAAUAAUAGAACAAGAAAGGAUAAACAUAGUAGACCAAUAUUCCUGGGAUGGAAAAGAGAACAUAUUUGAUCAGUUGCAAACGACCAACAUAUGUAAGAGAUGUCGAGGUCUAUAACCUGAUCUUCGAGAGAAUCCGCUCAACCAAAGCCAUGCAGUCACUAUGUUUUAACUGGGUAGUAAUAAAAGGAACCCCCAAGUAUCUGAUCGGCAAGGAGCCCAACCUGAAACCUAAGAGAUCCAAACGAGAUGCUUUCAAAUCAUCAUCUAUACUUGAUAUGAAAACAUGGCUCUUCUUUAGGUUGUUCAUCAGCCUUGAUAACACAACAAAGUCAUCCAGAGCCCUCCUCACAACACCCACUGAAUCUGUGUUUGCCUAACAGAAUAUCAUAAGGUCAUCAACAAAGCAUAAAUGAGUAAUACUCUCGUGUUGACACCUCAAGUGAUAGUGGUAUCUCUAGUUCUGGGUAGCCUUUCUAAGAAUACCACCAAGACUUUCAUAGCCAGCACAAAGAAAGUCAACUACGCGUUCGCUUUGGUUGCGAGACAGCUUGAGGGCAUACAACAUGUGCCAAAGAUGACUAAACUAUCACAAUUCUCUAGGUUAUUCAAAGACAAAUCCACUUUAAAAGUCAAUGAAAACAUCAAACAAGAUUGGAAGCUUCUGGUAUUGAUAAAAAAAUAAAUUAGAUGGUUUGAGAGAUCCAGUCACUAGUGAAAAAUACCCGAGGUGGAUAAAUCUAUCAUUGGUGACUUUCUUCACGAAUCUCGAAUUCAAAAUGGAAACUUCACAAGCUGCUGAACUAAAUAAGAGAGAAAAAAAUUAACAAUGAGGACGAGCUGAGAGAACAACUGGAAAAGCUCUAGGUAGAAUUGGGCACCAAUAAAGCCCUCAGGAUCUCCCUCGAGGAAUAACUCUUCACUGAAGAGAAACUGAGGAAGUUUGUCGAGUAACAAUUGAUAGAAAAAGACAAAAUAGUCAUGUCUUUAGAGAAGCAGCUGAGAGAGGGAAAAGUGGCUAGCAACCGAGUUGAGAAAGAGCGAGGAGAAUUGGGAAAAAGUUGGAUGCAAAACAACACCGAAUUUAAGACAUUGAAAGCCAAUUUCAAUGAUUGCCAAGAAAGAGCUGAUAUGUCUUCAAGGGUCCAAACAGAAUUAGAAAGCCGGAUUGAACAAUAUGAGCAGUUAUACAAAGAACAUGUGAUGCUUGAAAGUGAGUUGGCUGAAGAAAAAGCCAAAGAAAAAGUUGUUGGGAAUUCCAAGAUUGAUAAGAUCAACUUGUUAAAAAGAGCUUGAUAACGAAAAAUCAGGGCAAAACAUUUAGAGGAGAAAAAUAGGUUGUUGGAGCACCAUAAUCAGAUGAUUGAUACCAAGAAUAAUCAACUGGAUAGGAGCAACAUGUUGCUCUUAGAAAAGAUGAGUAACAUGGAUGAGCAUAUUGAUUGAGCUUUUAUCCAUGCUCGAAGAAUUCAUCUCAAUGCUCAACAAGUUGGGAGAGUUCUUCACUGAUAUCAACCAAGUAUAGUUGAAAAUGGUGCUUUUCUUAGGAAUAUAGGAAACAAAAGCUUUGUUUUCCCCCUGUAGAUGAUGAUGAAUGAACUGAUCCUCAAAUGUAAAAACUUUCACUGAACAUUAAUGAAAAGGGCUUGGACCUAAUCUUCUCAUCAUCAUUUUGUAUUGAUGAGUAUAAAUAUUAGGAAUUGGCUCAAAUCAAAUUGCCUCGAUAAUUAUAAAAGGAUCAGAAAUCUUACCCAAAUGAUGACAUAUAUCAGUCCAGAAAUUUGGCUAAUCCACAUCCAAACAUGUAUCAUCAUGCAUAAUUAUACAUUCAUAUGCAAUUGUGUUUAUGAAUUUCAAAAUGUGCCCAAUAGGUAUUUGAAAUAUAGGUCCCCCUACUAAAAUCUAUAAUACCAGGCUUCGUAAAAGGAUGUAAAAUGAAGAAAGGGUUGACUACCAAAAAGAGCUGGAUGAUGUUAAGAAUAACAUGGCUCGGGUGACUAGUUUACUCGACCAACUCUUGCGAGCAUAGUUAGGGGAAGGGACAUCCAGUCAUCAUUUGAAUUUGUUAUCGCCGUUAGCAGCUCUAGUUAUCAUUGACCAACAAAACUUGGAAACAAAUCCUACCACUAGACCACAAGGAAUAACAAGAAAUUCAAUGACUUACCCAAUUAUGCCUGCUCAAGUACCGACCAUAAUAGAUCUAACUAUGAGGGAAUUCCAUGGGGUUAAAUCUUUUGGUGACCCUAAACAAGAUAAGUGGGUUGCUUGGGAGGAGAGGUUUAGAGUUGUUAAGGGAUUUGAUGUCUGUGACUUGGUUAGAGCAGUUGAGAUAUGCCUAGUACUAAAUGUAAUGAUACCUAAAGAGUUUAGAGUACCAGAAUUUGUCAAGUACACAGAGUUAGAAUGCCCUAAUACAUACCUAAGGUCAUAUUAUAAUAAAAUGAUGGAGGUCAUAUAUAAUGACAAGUUGCUCAUCCAUUUCUUCCAAGACAGCUUGACUGGUUUCGUCUUAAAUUGGUAUAUGACUUUAGAUAAUACAAGGCAAUACAAAUUCAAUAUUGAUAUCAUUUUAGACUGGACAAGUUUAAUAGUGAUGGAGAAGGGCAAUAAAGAAAUAGUGAGGGGGUAUGCUUAUAGAUGGAAAAACAAGGCAAUGCAUGUAUAAUUGUCUUUGUUAGAAAAAGAAAUGGUGACUUUAGUCGCCAAUACUUUCAAAUCUCCAUACUAUGAGUACCUGAUGGGUAGCUUUACCCAACACUUUUAUGAUGUCAUGGUUAUUAUUGGGAGAAUAAAGUAAGGGAUAAGAGCCGACAGAAUAUCAGAACCCACUAAGAAGGAAGGGUUUACUAGGAGGAAAAAAGAUGUUGAGGUAAGCAAUAUAGAAGAAGGGUACAUGGGUAAAAAGGAUUUCCAAACCCAAAGCUAUCACAUCCAAACCUAUUAAGCCUUGUCUCUUAAAGUACACAAUAUCAGCUUUGCCAAGUCUUUUAUAGUAAAUCAGCCUACCAACCCAUAAAAAAACCAAACUGAAAACAACCCAAAAAGAACAUACCAAAGAAACCAAGAACAACUCCCACCUUUACCAAUACCUCUAGGGAAAAUGUAUGCAAAACGGUUAAGUAUAGGUCAUGUGACCCCUCUUCCUUUUCCACCAUUUAAACCUCCCUUUCCAAGUUGGUAUAAGUCAGAAUUGACCUAUCACUACCAUGCUAGAAAUCUUAGCCACAUCAUACACUUGCUCAGCAUUUAAGAAGAAGCUCUUGCAAUUAUUCAAGGCAGGGUGAAUAACUUUUAAAGAUACCCCAACAUCAAUUUCAACCCUUUACCCAAUCAUGCUUCUAGUAGUGGAGGAGUAAACAUUGUGGAGUAUGAAGGGAAGAAAAAGCAAGUUUUAAGGGUAAACAUGGAUAAGCUAUAAGACAUGUUGUUGUAAGCCGAGUAUUUUCCAGUAAAAAAUGGAUCAGGUCCAAAAAAGGAUGAUGGUUUUGGUAGGUUCCACAAAGCGAUGGGACAUAACAUUGAGGGAUGUGAGGAGUUUUAGCAGAAGGUGAUAUAAUUGAUAACUUUUGAUCCUUUACAAAUAAAGAAGGAGGAAGAGGAUGAUGUGUGGGCAUGAUAAGUUUAUUAGGGAAGAAAGUAGAAGUGUGUAGGAUCCACCGUACUGAGAGUGGUCCACUAAAACUUGUUUUGACAAGAGCUACCUUUUGAGGAAAAGUUGUUGACCAUACACAUUUUUUAUUCUUCUGAUUCUAGAAAAACCAAAGCAAACACCCAUCAAGAUGGAUUGAAACUCCUUUAAAUAUUGUUUUUUAUUGCUUAAAUCUCUUUCAAAAAAACUUUGUAAUGGCUAUAAAGUGAAGAAAAUGGUUUUUAUGAUGGUUUUUUUAGUGGUUUGAUGAAAAAUUUGGGUCUAAUGUAUGGUGUACAUGGUAGAAUAAGUGAAGGGUAGUUUAUGUUCUUAUAUAAGCCUUGGCUCAUUAAUGAAGCUCAAUUAUCUUUAGCUUCUUGUGCCACUAGAACAUUUAAUGGCCUUAAACUGCCGAUUAAUUACUUUAUUGGAUUGAUUAAGUCAUCUCUUUAGGUCUAGGUAUAUGAUAUGACCCAUCACUUUAUUGGACUAAAAAAGGAUGGGUCAAACCUUAAGAAGUCUAAUUGACUUAACUACACCAUAACAUACUAGUCUUUAGAUUAAACAUAAGGUUUCCACAUAACCCAAUACGACAACACACUCGAGUAGAGGAGCAAACCAACUCCAAAACACAAGUUAGAAUAGGAAGGGCGUAACCCAAAAUUAUUCUAUCCACUCUCUCUAUAGUUGAUAUCAAGCGUUAAAUGCUCUCAUGUCCUCCUAUUAUAAUUAGGCUCAUAGAUUGGUGUUAGGGAUGCCCAUAGCCAGUGGAUAACCCAUAUGAUAUCAUUUCUUUACUCAAUAGUGAAUCACCAACCAUAAGAAUGUUAUCCUAAGUAAUUGCAACUAAUGUAUGUUUCAUAUUAUUUUCCCCUCACUUUAUCCUUAAUUUCAUGCAAGUUGGCAUGAUUUAUGGCUAUAUAAAUAUCUAUGAAUCACCAGGUAAGGCAAGUUCCAAUAACAUAUUUCUUAGUGCAUAUUUUUCCUCUUCGUAACUACAUGUCAUUACGACCCUGUUUGGGGUUGCGUUUGCACUAUAAUUUUAGUAAAUUUUGAAAUUUCUUUCUUCAAAUUAAUUUUUGUUAUGUAUUUUUAAAUCGUUUUGAUGUGCUGGUGUCAAAAAUAAAUUAAAAACAAAUACAAAAAUAUAUUAUUUUAAUGAAUUUCCAAACGAAAAACAAUUUAAAAAGCAACCUCAACCACACUUUCACAUCUCCUUUAAAUUUAGCAAACAUAUAUACUACACGAACUUGAAAGGCUUUAUUCCUUUUAUAUUUGUGAUAACUUAAGUAUUUGAGGAUCUUUUACGCUAAAAAGUAUUUGUCUUCGGGUAUUCAUGAUUUCCAAUGUUUUUCAACAAUCUACUUCUAAAUUUUCAGCCCAUUUAUUAAUCUUGAAAAGGUCUUAAUCUUGUGUGGUUUUCCUCACCCUCGUAAAAAAGAAAGUAAAUUAACAUGUCCUUUGCUCUUAUAUUUACACCUUAAUAAACACGAAUCCAUCCUAUGUCUUCCUCGUAAAAAGAACAAUGCUAAAUAAAUUACAAAGUAUUGAUUUCUUGGAGAGAAAAAUAUGGUACCUGCAUAAUUAAUGCCGAAAACAUGUGAAUAAAUUAGAAAGAAAGGAUUUUAUAUUAGCCAUAGUUUCAUAUAAAAAUGUGAAUAGUUUUGUCUUUAUUAAAUUUCCGGAAGUAUAUUCAAAAUAAUCAUCAAGUAAGUGGCCUUUGUUUCAUAACCUAAAGCACCGGUCUUCUUAUCAACAGCAGAAGCAAUCCUUUUUUUUUUUUUUCUUUUUUUUUCUAUUUAUAGGCAAAAUAGUACAAGGAACGCCUAUGAAGAGGCAGCAGGAAAUUGUAGCUAAAGGAGAUUAAAAACAAAUCACACUAUAUUACUAUCAAAACUCAUGCCACUGCUUCUGAUGAAGUACUGCUUCUAAAGCGCAAGACUUCAUCAGAAGCAGAUACCAAGACCAAUCAACUAGAGAAAAUUCAAUCCUAUGGGAGCAUCUUGGGUUUUCCUUUAUGAUGGGUAUCGUAUGUCCACAGCGUUACAACUGGAGUUUUGCUAGCUCCGCAUCAAACAACUCAUCACGUCGGUAUUAUGUAUUCAUCCUCGCCGGGCCAAGGCAAAAGUGUCGUCUUCAUGAUACCGAUUUCUCUUAUAAGGUAUGGAAAAUAUCGGCAUCAAUUCCAUCUCCAUCUCCAUCUCCAUCUUUCCUUGCAUCAAAUUUUUUGUUUGAUCUUUUGAGCCAGCAGUUUGGACCCAAUGAUGUAAGGGUAAAUAAUGAUUCAUGGUCAUCAGCAUGUGUAUGGGAUUUGGUAUUCAGACUUCUUAUGUUUACUCGUAUCCUCGGACGAAUCUUGAUGUCUUGUCGAUGCAGUCUGGCAACAGGAAGUCUAUGGGUUUUGGCUGUAAAUGGCGCCGAGAGAGCCCUACCAUCAAAGGCAAUAUCGUCUUCAGUUUCAUUAUCGUUUGUCCUGUUUACCUUUUUUAUUACGGACGAAAUGGUUUGACCUUCGAUUCCGGAUCAUUCUUUCUUGUUAGAAAUUUGUCUUAGAAAACUUGGCGUUAAGAAAUUAAAAGUAGAGUACACUUAUUUUUAAAUUUAAGAUGAUUGAAAAUUAUUUUUCUGACAAAAGUAUUUUUACAUAAAAUAUUAACUUGUCUAAAAUAAAUUAUGAAUAAAUAAUAAAUUAAUUUUAAAUAACUCUUAAUUAACAUAUUUUUUUAAAAAUUAAAAGCACUCAAUCUCACAUUGGGCACAAAGAACACCAAAGUUUUUAGAUGGGAAAUGCCCUAAUCUAAGUGGGCUUAGGGCAUAAUUCACACGCGCUCGCUAAGCUUGACUCGACAUCGAGCUCAAGCUUGGGGCUUGGGCUUGUUAUAAAAUAAUUUUUUGACCCAUAAAAAUUUAAUUUUUGCCAACCCUUAAAUAAAUAAUUUGAAUAGUUUAUUUUCAAAAAUAAAAAUAUAUGGUUUUUAAGGAAAAAAACUGUUCGGUUUUUUAUUCUUUUUAUGGUAGGUAAUUUAGGUAAAAUAGCAAGAAGUAAUUUUGGUAAUUAUUAGAGUUAAUUCCAUAUUAGUUUUUGUUCUAAAAAUCGGUAUAAUAAGGAGUUGAAGAAGAGAUGUUUUGUAUAACUUGCAAUAGUUUUUUUUUCUUUUUCUCCAUAGUUUUUUCAUCUUCCUUAACAUGAUCUUGCCUUGUUUUUACUUUAUUCUAGAGCUUAGGUUCUAGUACUUUAAGAGUGAUUCAGGGUCUUCUUAUUUUUUUUACACUAUCAGAAAAUCAAUGAAUACAAAUAGAAACACCAACGGAAAAAAUACAUCAGUAUUUUGUGGUGAUAUUUACCGAUCAAAUUUUUUCAAGUGCUAACUCUGUUGAUAAAUACUGACGGAAAUAUAUCAUCGGUAUAUACCGAGGGAAUCCCAGUUAGAAUAAAAGGAAUUAAAAAAACCAAACAGUACGAUAAUGUGUAAGUUUUUAUAGAUGCUUUUACCGAUGGAAUUACAGUUGAAUUCAAACAGACAAGUCGUACAGUGACGUGUCACUUAUACCGAUAUAAAUGUCGACGGAUUGAUAGACGAAAUAAUUUUAUCGGUAAAUCCAUCGGUAAUAUUUAAUAUAUGACUUGACGCUUGACCCAGCUCUCCCCCUCCCCUAUUUCUCUUUUUUUCAAAGCAGCCCCCCCACCAUAUCCCCUCUCAUCUCAAUACAACUCAUUCUUCCGUAAUUUUUCAGUUACAACAACACUCUAUUUGACAGCAUUCGUGUUCCGGUUGAAAUUUUAUUGGGGAUUUUUCAUCUUAAGUAAGCAAAUCUAUCCUUUUUUAUUGCAUAUUUUUGUAGUAUAUGUAUUUUGUUUGAAUGUUUACUUGUUUUAUUAUUUUUUCUCAAACAAACUUGUUAUAUGGAUUUAUGAAUUUGUACAUGUUAUGGUUUAUUUUAGGUUCUGUAAAAUUAUAUUUGUUUGCAAAUUGUUGAAACUUAUAUCAAAUUAUCGACUUAGGUGUGUUGUAAUAAAAUAACUAAUGACUUGUUUAACGACUCUAUUUUAUAUUUUUUUAAUUUUAUUGUCGAGUUGUAAUUUUUGUUAACGUGUACAAAUUUGUAUCUACAUAGAUAAUUUAUAAUGAAUUAAGAGAAGUAUUAAAGUAGGUUGAAUAAUCUUGAGUUAAACCAAUAUUUUUGCAAAUUUAUUUAGUUAACAUAGUUAAUUAAUACAUGUUGUCAUCAUUAUUUGAUAUAAGUUCGAUGGACGUCAUGGAUGAUCGUUCAUGAAUGUAUCGAGAUUCACCCCAAGGAUUGCGGAGGAUGGAUUAUUUUAAUGGGUUUUAGGGUUUUAUUAAUUAUGUAACAUCUAAUAUGAGAAAUAUUAGUGGAGGCAGUAUUAGGUGUUCAUGCAAGAGGUGUAAAAAUAAAAAGUUUCUCGAUUCAGAUGAUGUAAUGAUACAUCUUCUACACAAAGGGUUAAUGGAGGAAUACUUGUGUUGGUAUGCACACGAAGAACCAUUUGUUCCUCACGAGACCAUGGUAGAUAGGAUGGUUGAGUCAACUUCUAGUGCUAGCAACGUGCAUGGAGUUUUAAAUGACAACAACAAUCCUUUUUAAGACUAUGGUUAUGGAAACGAUUAUAAUGAAUCAAGGUCAUGAUGGUUAAUGUCCAAUUGUAGAUGAAAAACCUAAUGCAGACAUUGCCAGAUUUUUUUGAUCUUUUGAAAGAUUCUGACGAGCCAUUAUGGGAUGGCUGCACAAAUCACUGUAAAUUAUCGGUGUUGCACACGUGUUUACCAUAAAAUUGGAUUAUCGGUUGAUAAGGCAGGUUAUGACAGAAUUGUCAAAUGUGCGAGAAGUAUUUUACCUGAAGGGAAGAGGCCAAAAGAAAAUUUCUAUGCUGCUAAGUCUAUGAUGAAACCCCUUGGUCUAGGAUACCAGAAAAUUAACAUGUGUCCAAACUUUUGCAUGCUAUACUACCUUGAAAGUACUGAGCUAACCAAGUGCAGGACAUGUGGGCAUUCCCGUUAUAAACCCAGAACUAGUAGGGGAAAGAUUCUUGUUGCACAAAAAAAACUUAGAUACUUGUCAAUCACAUCAAGAUUACAGAGGUUAUUCAUGUCACUAAAUACUGCUGAGCACAUGACAUGACACCAAUCACAUAAUACGAUGGAUGAAGUGAUGACACACCUUUCCAAUGAUGAAGCAUGGAAACACUUUAAUAAUGUGCAUCUUUACUUUUCAGUUGAAUCAAGGAAUGUGCGUUUUGAGUUAGGUAUAGACAGAAUCAAUCCAUCCGAAUCAUUUGCUACUCCUUUUUCUUGUUGACCGGUUAUACUCACGAUUUACAACUUGCCACGAGGGAUAUGUAUGAGGUAGGAGUUCAUGUUUUUAUCUAUAUUCAUACUUGCCACCAGGAAUAUAGAUUUUUUGUCUUCAACUAUUGAUUGAUGAGUUGACGUAGUUGUGGUCCUUCGGGGCUUUGAGUUAUGAUGUAUCGAUAAAACAAAAUUUUCUUAUGAAGGCAGCUUUAAUGUGGACUAUCAAUGAUUUUCCAGCUUAUGGAAUGGUUUCUGGUUCGAGCACGUAUGGAAAACUAGCAUGUCCAUACUGCACAAAAAAUUACUAGGCAUUCACGCUAACAAACAACGAUAAAAUGUCUUUUUUUGACUGCCACCGAUGUUUUUUUGCCAACGGAUCACAGGUAUAGAAAGAACAGAAAGGAUUUUAUUAUUGACAGAGUUGAAAAGGAUGUUCCACCCCCGUGUGUUUCUGGUGAAGAAUUAUAUGACGUGGUGUCAGAGUACGGUGAUAUUGUGUUUGGUUUUCAAUCCUGUAAGCAGAAGUUUUCGAGUUUUGGUUUGACCUACAAUUGGGUAAAACAAAGUAUUUUAUAGAAGCUUUUUUAUUAAAAGACCAAUCUCCUCCGCCACAACCUUGAUGUCAUGCACAUAGAAAAGAACGUGUUUGAGAAUAUUUUCAAUACGGUCAUGGACGUGAAGGGGAAGACAAAGGAUAACAUCAAGGCUAUAUUGAAUAUAGCUUUGUUAUGUAACCGUAAAAAUAUGUAGUUGGUUUAUGCUGGGUCAUGGGUUGUAAGACCCAAAGCAAGCUUCGCUUUAGACAAGAAUACACAACUAUUAGUCUAUCAAUGGCUUAAGAGUUUGUGUUUUCCCGAUGGACAUGCCUCGAACAUAUCAAAGUUUGUUAAUUUAGAGGAUUGCAAAUUGUAUGGAAUUAAGAGCCAUGACUACCACGUGUUUAUGCAAACAUUAAUUCCAUUAGCUUAUCGUAUUUUAUUGUCAAAUGGGAUAUGAGAUGCACUCACGGAGAUCAAUUAUUUCUUUAGAGAUAUAUGUUCCAACAAGUUGCAGGCACAACACAUUGAGAAGCUUGAAAUGAAUAUCGUCUAGACAAUAUGUAAACUUGAGAUGAUAUUCCCUCCAUCAUUUUUUGACUCGAUGGAGCAUCUACCCAUACAUUUACCAUAUAAGGAAAAAAUUGGAGGCUUAAUUCAGUAUAGAUAGAUGUAUCCAUUUGAGAGGUUAGAGAUUACACAUGCAAUGCAAUUAAAAAAGUAUUUUCAUUGUUUUUGUUAAUUGAAAACAUUCGUUUAAUUCCAUGCAAGUACCUUUUUAACCUUUAAAAAAAGGUUAAAAACAAAGUGUAUGUUGAAAUUUCAAUAUGUGAGGCCUAUAUUGUUGAUGAGAUCUCAAAAUUUAUCUCCUACUAUUUUGAGCCUCAUUUAAGAACAAGAAUCAAUCACGUUUCAAGGUAUGAUGAUGGUGGUGAAGUGCCUUUAAGUGGGAACUUGUCAAUAUUCUCAAAUUCUGAACGACCCGCACUAAAAAGUGUUGUUAGGGGAAGAUAUUUAUCUGAAAUAGAAUUCAGAUAAAUAUAUAAUUAUAUGCUAUUUAACUACGAUGAACUGAGACCUUUUAUUCAAUAAGUAGAAUACUCAACUUUGUUAUUAAUAGACUAUUUAUCUCUUGUAAUAUCACAAACUUAUACAUUGUUAAAUACCUCGUAGGCAACAUCGUUAAUAUUUACUGUCUAAUAACUCACAAUAGAUUGAAUCUCAAAUCUUUCGAUUACAAGAUGAAUAAUUUACCACGUGGUUCAAAAAACAUGUAAGUACUAUCACAAACUCAUUAUCAAUCAUGAUACUUAAUUUCGUUAUAAAAUUCUCGUUCACUAUUCACUGUUGUACUUGAUGUACCACGUUUAUAAAUUGGAAGGGAAUGCUAGUGCUACAUUGUCUUUACUAAGUUUAGGUCUUGAAAGAUAGGUGAAGUGCUACAACAUGUAUUUUGUCAAUUGAUACGUGUUUUAUAUUAAAGAAUAUAGGCAGGGUAGAAAUACAUAUGACAAUGAGAUUUAUGUUAAGAGAUCGACUUUUAGUGAGUUUGAAGUUGACUAUUAUAAGAAAUUAAAAGAGAUAAUUGAAUUGCAAUAUCAUAGCAAGCAUAAUAGAGUAUUUUUAUUCAAAUGUUAUUGAUAUGACACCGCUGACUAAGGAAUCAGAGUAAAUCCCCAUCAUGGUUUAGUCGAAAUUAACUCAAAAGCUAGACUCCGCAAUGUCAACAAUUUCUUUGUUUUUGCUAAGCAAUGUUAGUAAGUUUAUUACACAUACACCCCUUCUUCAGAAAAGAUUAUUCAAGAGUUGAUUGAUUAUCCGUAUUGAAAACCAAACUCAGGGGUCGUGUCGAGGUUGUUUAAGAUGAGAACGAUGACUCAAAUAUGGGAGAUGAUGUUUUUCAAGUUAGUGAGUUAGUUGAACUAUAUCGAGUUGCUCUAUCGAUUGACUUAUAAGAAAAUUUAAAUUUUCACGUCUUCAAUAAUAUUUUUGUUAAUAUUGACGUUGAGGAGUUAAAUGUUGUUCUCAGCUCCAACGGACAAGCACAAGUCCAUGAAGAUGAUGGUAACAAUGAUAUCAACGUAGAAGAUUAUGAUGGAGCUGGCGACGAGUCAAUUAAAGAAGAAGAAGACAAUUCUGACUAAUUAUCAAAACAUGGAACUGUAAUGCCAUAAAUUAUAAUAUAAUAUUUAUUGAUGAAAUUAUCUACAAAGAAGUAUUUAUUUUAUUAUUGUUAUGUAAACUCGUAUUAUUGUGUUGUGCGUGCAACUUUCAAUUUAAGUAUUUGCAGGAUGGAUAUAUAGGAAAUACAAAUAUAAUCUGGCAUCAGACACUGUUUAACUUGGAUAUACAUUAAAACAAUAUUUUUUAUUUUUAAAAAAUUAUUUUUGAUAUCAAUAAAUCAAAAUAUAUAAAAAAAAUUUAAAACUUUUUUUUUUCAAAACUUGCCCAAAUUUCAUUUGGAACACAAUAAGAAACGAGAGGCUACCAUCAAAUGCAAUAUCGUAUUCAGCUUCAUUAUCGUUUGUCCAUUCCACCACGAACCAAAUGGUUUGCCCUCCGAUUCAGGGUGAUGCAUCUUUCAGUCAGCAUUAAGGCUCGGUAAUUAUAUUUCCUAUGAUUAAGAAACUUUUGGAUCUAUUCCCACUCCAUAAAGAUUUUAUUGUUAUUAAACUUCUUCAAUCUUUAUAUUUUCUCUUGAAGUGAAAGCUAAGGAUAUCUACAAAUAAAAGAAAUUCCGAACCUAACAAAAAAUUGAAGUGUACAUUAAACUUAUAAUUGAAUUUGGCCUUGUUGCUUAAAUUCUGAUUCUUUAUAUAUGAUUUUAUUGAUAUUUUAUUGCAAAAUAGAUUAUUACAUCUCAUCAUUUUAUAUAUCAUCAUUAAUUCUUUUUAUUAAAAAGAAUAUUUUACGGCCAAUUUAUUUCAUGACAAUGAAUGAAUUUAUUUAACAUAUUAACGAUUUUUACUUUAUUGAAAAUAUAUUUUAAUAAAAAAAUUUAAUAGAUAGUUAUGAUGUUAUAUUAUUAUGAAAUAUAAAUAUAAAUAAAAAAACUCAAAGAAGGUAAGUUUUAUCACUCAACAAAUUUAAAAUGGAUAAAAAUAACAAUUGGAGUGUGAAUAGCUAGUGCUUUCAUUCUUUUUAUGAGAAUUAUGGUGUACUUUGAAUUGGUUUCAAAAUCUAAUGUAGAAACUCCCUUCAUACUAUGAAAUAAUUUGUCUUUGUCAAUUGAAUAUAAAAUUAAAAAAUAGCAAAAGAUAUUACCUUUGGAAACUAAGAGGAUAAUCUUUAGAGAAGUCCCCCUUCCCUCUCAUCAAAUUAUAUUAAAAAAUUAUGGAAUCAAAUUUUAAUAUCUUUUAUAGAAUUUGAUAGGGAAUUAGGGCCCAUCUUCAAGAUAGAGAUUAAAGAGAAAAUCAUUCUUAAAAAAUGAAUAUCUCCACUUUAGAAAUAAGUGUUUUGAUUUAUAUCUCCUCUUGAUAUCUAUUUUUCUCUGUAAAAUAAAAAUUAGUAUUCAUUAGUUACUACUGAAGUAACACAUGAAAUAUUUUAGUGAAUUAGAUCAAUUAAUCUAAAUUUCUAUAUUUAAAUAUUGCACUUGACCCGAUUGCAAUUGUGAUUUGAUUUCAGUAUAAUUGACGAAACCCAAAUGUGCUCAUUAAUUGUUAACAUCGAAAGUUUAAAAAAGUUGAAUGUGUUAAAAUCACUCGAAACCUAUAUAAAUAGAUACAUAUGAUUAAAAUGAAAAAACGAAGAGACACAAAAUAUUUAUAAUUCUUCCAAAUAAGUUUUAUUUAAUUCAACAAUUUGUUUAACAAUACUAAUGAUGUUGUUGAGUAGGAUUAUAGUUGAUAAUAAUAAAUAAUUGAUGAAAUCUUCAUGUUAAAACAAUACUAAUGACGAGAGGGAAGAUUGAAAAACAGAGAGGAAUUGUUUUGAGAUAUAGAGACGAGAAAAGAGAGAAAAUAGAGUAGAAGAGAGAAGAACCUCCACCGUCUGCCUUCUUCAAUAUUGCCGCCAUGAGAACCGCCUUGAGCCACUGUCGACAGCAGCUCUGUAAACCCCCGGUUAUAAUUUUUCUGGGUAUUUAAAAGAUGAGAAAUUUAACCAAUAGUAAAAGGGGUUAAAUUAAAUUAAAGAAACCUAAAUCAAGAUAAAAAUAGUGAAAUUAAUGAAAUGAAAAGUCAAUAUAGUACUAAAUUAUUGAAAAGAAAAACAUUUGUGAGGACAAAAUGAAUAUGUAAAAUCAAGAGAGGUCAAUAUUCAAAUAACAGAAGGUUGGGAGUUUAUGUACAAAUGAUAAAAAGGGGUGGGGAUAAAUGUGCAAUUAACAAGAUGUUAGAACUAUAAAUAUCAUUCUAUUUUCUCUCUUGGAGGAACUGACAAGAGUAAGAGAGAGUUUAGAGAGAGGCUGGACAGAAGACAUAUUGAUGGCAGAACAUCCGACAGCUAUAACUCCACCUUCCACCGUUGGAUCAGAACGAUAUUCAGAUAUAUUAUUCUCAUCCAUGUCAUGUACAUUUUCACUAUAGGGAUUUUCUAUAUGAGUCUCCGGUUGAGAGAUAUCGAGGGGGGAAAUAUCUGGGAAAAUACACUUCUGGACAAUCUUCUUUGCUGUCUGUUUUCUCCUUCGGCCACUGUUGGAUUAGGCUAUAAUUUGGAUAUGUUGUUCUUCCUGAUUCUGUCUAGACUCUGAACGGUGGAGAUCUGAAACAAACAUUCGGUAUAGAAGUUGUGCAUCUCACACAGUAGGUCUGCAAGUUUGAAGUCAGUUCGGUUAAACCCAUAUUUCUAGAAAUCGCACCAUUUGAUGAAGUUAAUAUUUGGAUAUGUUAUACUCAUAAUAAUGCAUUAUAACUUGACAGUAUGGAUUGUUUGGAAUAUUAUUCGUUUGUUAUUUAUGGUUGAUUGAAACUGUUUUCAAGGAUUGUGUUUAGAAGAAUAUUGUUCGGAAAGUUUGUAAAAUCGAUAAGAAUGUUUUAUUUUGAUGUUAAGAGGGAAGAUUGAAAUAAAUAAGGUAAAUUGGCUCUUAAAAAGAUAUUUUUUUGACACUCUUAAAUGAUAUGUGAUAUGGCCAGGGGUUGAGAUAAAAGAGAAAAAGUUAAAUUAUGGAUGUUGUGUGUAAAUGGAAAGGUUGAUGAAUCUUGACAGAUUCGUCUCCUGACUUUUAAAGAGAAUUUGAGUAGGAGGAUGAGAGAAUUAGGAUCAAGUUUCUUCAUAGUAAUUGUAGUUUUGGAUGUUAGCUAACUAAGAAAAAUUGGUCUUGCUCAAUAUGGAGCUGUAGAACCCUAGCUAUGGGUCAUCAACUGAGAUUGGGUCCUGAUAGACCCUGUAGGGUAGUGUUUGUUGAUGAGCAAUUUUGACUAUUUCAGAGGCAGAACUGGGUUCUCCUUACUCAGAGAACUUGUAGCCUCGUGUAUUAGCUUUCCAACGAGACUAAUCUCGCUUGAAACAGAGUUCUAUAACUUUAGAUAUAGUUAAAAAUAUGAUGAGUGUUCAGACAAUGACAGUUGGACAAUAACAGUUCAAUAUCUAGACAGUAACAGUUAGAUAGUAACAAUUGGAAAUUUGACAGUAACAGUUCAAAGUUAGACAGUAAUAAUAAACUUUGACGUGAAUACUAUAUAAAAGAAUUGAGUCAUACGAACACUUGCACAUUGAGAUACUAACUCUAAAAAUAUACAUGAUAUAUGUAUGUAUGUUAUUAUGAGGAAAUGAACAUGCAUAAAAAGUAACAUAUGAGUAAUGGAUGAUUAUGGAUUCUCUGUAAUAUUGGACUGAAGGAAUGAUAACUAUGGUUGGAUAAAGGAUGACAACAUUAAUGGGUGUAAUGAGAAAAACAUGAGAUAUAAAGAAAGAAAUGAUUGAAAGAAAGAUUUAUUAGCUAUUGAUAUGAUUAUUAUAAAACAUAUCCUUGAAUGAGGAAAAUUUAUGAGAUGAGUUUGUGACUAUAGGAAGGACCACCUGUGUGGUGCAACAGCAGCAACAUGGGAGCACAAGUAGAGCUUCUACUGCAGGUAGGUGACUUUCACCUUCCUUUUAAAUAAUGUUGAAUAAUGAAAAUACUUUAUCAUGAAUAUUACUGUAUUGUGUUAAUUCAUAUACCAGAUUGUCAAAUGCUUAAAUGUAAACAAUUUAUUAGCUUCGGCUAAUGGCAUUCGAAGGGAUGACCGGGACAAACGAGUGAUUAGCUUUGGCUAAUGGCAUCCGAUAGGAUGGCCGGGACAAACGAAUGAUUAGCUUUGGCUAAACAAAUGAAUGAUUAGCUUUGGCUAAUGGCAUUCGAUGGGAUGACUGGGACAAACGAAUGAUUAGCUUUAGCUAAUUGCAUCCGAAGGGAUGGCCGGGACAAAUGAAUAAUUAGCUUUGGCUAAUUGCAUCUGAAAGGAUGACUGGGACAAACAAUUGAUUAGCUUUGGCUAAUGGCAUCCGAAUGGAUGACGGGGAAAAUUGAAUGAUUAGUUUUGGCUAAUGGCAUCCGAAUGGACGACCGGGACAAAUGGUUGAUUAGCUUUGGCUGAUGGCAUUCGAAGGGGAUGGCCGGGGUGAGUGAACAGUUAACCUCGACAAAUGAUGUCUUAAAAGAAUGGCUGGAUUUAAAUUUAAGAUUAUGGUUGAUUGUAAGAAUUGGUGCAUAUAUAUGUACUGCAAGUUGUGUAUACCAAGAACAUGAAGGAACUACAAAUGUCACGCUUCAAACAUGAGAUAAUGUUAAUGCUUCAUUAAAUUGCCAGACCAUUUUCUUCUUAUUAUUAUUAUUAAGUAAUUGCAUUCUUGUAAAUGUUUUGUACUGCAGUAGGGACGUCAUACCAACAAGGUGCCUAGAAAACGCAAUACACGGGAACCUACUUUUGCAAGGAAUCAUGUAGUUGCAUUCUAAAUCAUGAUGUAUUUUAUAUGAAUCAAUGUACUGAAUGUAUAACUAUUAUUAGAUCAUUUUAGAUUAAAUUCAUGAUGACUAUUUGUAGGAUAGAAUACAAACUCAUAUCUAUACAUGUAUAUUUUAAAUGCGAACUUAUAAUCAUGCAAACAUAAUAUUAUGAGUUUAUGUAAGAUUCACUUUUAACUGAAAAUGUUGAUUGUUGUUGAUGUAUGGAUUGUAUAUUGAUGAUGUGAAGGGAACAUGUUCGUCGAUUACCAACACGAUGUGUGUCAAGUACAAAAAAAAUAAAAAUUUACUGUUGUUUUGGGCUUGAAAAGUCGGGUUGUUACAAGCUCCACCACCAGCAGAAACAGAGGAGAAACCGAAACAAAACAGAGAAAAGGAGAAAGAACAGGAGGGAGGGCAGAAACAAAGGGCAAGGAAAACACAGAAAAAAGAACCACCAACCACCCUCAGCUCCCCAGUCUGCCACCGUUAGCGCCAAUAACAACGCCAUCGACAGUAGCUCCACCAUCGUCAGAGACCGAAGAAGAAAUGUAGAAGCAGGAGAAUAGAAACAAGGAGAAAAGGAAAACAUAGGAAAACAGAGAGAAAAACAAAGAAGAACCACCGUCUAGAAUCCUCCAUCCGCUGCACGAUUCUUCCUCAACACUGUCACCACUUGCCACAGUCAACACCAGCACCGCCACCACUGCCAGGUCAGCUUCUUCUCCUUCAUCGUCCUCGGCUACUCCACUGUUCUGUAUGAACAGUGGAGAGUCCUCCAUUGUUCACUAGGCCAGACAAGUCUGGCCCAACCCAAAACGAGAAUCGCCUAGAGCCACUGUCGACAACAGCUCCACCACCAGCAGAAACAGAGGAGAAACCGAAACAAAAUAGAGAAAAGGAGAAAGAACAAGAGGGAGGGCAGAAACAGAGGGCAAGGAAAACACAGAAAAAAGAACCACCAACCACCCUCAGCUCCCCAGUCCGCCACCGUUAGCGCCAACAACACCGCCAUCAACAACAGCUCCACCAUCGUUAGAGACCGAAGAAGAAACGUAGAAGCGGGAGAACAAAAACAAGGAGAAGAAGAAAACACUGGAAAACAGAGAGAAAAACGAAGAAGAACCACCGUUUGGAAUCAUCCGUCCUCUGCGCCAUUCUUCCUCAACACUGCCACCGCUUGCCACAGUCAACACCAGCACCGCCACCACUGCCAGGUCAACUUCUUCUUCUUCGUCGUCCUCGGCUGCUCCACUAUUUUGCAUGAACAGUAAAGAGUCCUCCAUUUUUCACUAGGCCAGACAAGUUCGGCCCAACUCAAAAUGAGUGGGUCGAGUCCGGCUCAGUCCAAAUUUUUUUUUUAAAAAAAAUCAUUUCGAAAAUUUGUGAUUUUUCUGCAUAUUUUUCUGUCCAUUUUGAUUAGUAUCGGUUUGUAUUUUAAUAUCAUAAGGAUACGAAUCUGGUUUUCAUCGAAACGUUGCAAAAAAUAAAAAAAAUAUCUUGUUUUCAUGCAUAUGACCAAGUCUUAAUACGACAAAAAAUCAUAUCGUAUUUUCAUACGACAAAAAAUCAAAAAUAUGUGUUAGCAUGUAUUUUAGCUUUAAUAACCAGCUUAUUAAAGCCACGAGAACUUGGUCAAUAUUCCAAAAAAUUUCAAAAAAAUCAUUUUGUUUUCUUUUAGUAUCUGGGAUUACAAAUUUAUACAUACAACGUAUUCCCAAUAUUAAAAAGAUAUUUCUUUUUAUUAACGUUAGAACGGUUAGGUUUUACCCGAUAAGAUAAAGAUAUGCUUACCGAGGAUGACUUUUCUUAAACUAUAGACAGACCAACAUAUAGACGUUAGCAUAUAUUAGACAAUAAAACAAUACAACUUACCUUAGGUAGGGCGUAUUUGAGUUGCUAAUACUUUCACUUUACGCAACUAGUCCCCGUGCCCGAUCUCUGAGACCAGUUAGGGUUCCUAGUGACCAAAACACUAGGUGACGACUUUCAUUCCAUCAUUCCACCGAUAAAAGACAAGAAUUCUCUGAGUGGACAAUCAUCGUGACGCCGCAUACGUGCGACAACAUGAAAGUCAUAUUGUAUGGAAUUUGUAUGAUGUGUUUCUUGAGAGAAAGCUUGUAUUAUUCAAAAUAAACUUUUAUUAAGUGUAAAUUAUUUAAAAUAAUAAUAAUUUUAUUCAGAACCUUUAUAAAUCUAUACAUAUAAUUAAAUCUAAUCAUAUAAUUUUUUUUAAAAAUUAUUUGAUUGCUGUCUUGCGCUUCUAUUAUCGUGGAAUUAAGUAAAAUAUGAUUUUAUAAAAUAAAGUUGUUAGACCUCACUGAGUCAUUUGUUUGGCAUGUAUACUGGAGUUGAUUCAAGAUAUCAUCGUCUUAAUAUUUGAAGAACAAUGUUAAAAUGUUGAUGUCUUCAAUUCUUUCUAGUCAAACUAGAUUUUUACUAGGUCGAUUAGAUCAAACUUUAACUUACUUAGUUGAUUGGAUCAUAUAAAAGUAAAAUCUAACCCAAUUUAGCUUAACACCUAAGCUAGGAGAGGGCUAAACUCAAAAUGUCUAUGAUUUUAAUUGAAAUUCAUUAAAACAUUAACAACACCUGUAAAUACAUUUUUCUUUUUGCCAUCAAAUUUAAUUUUUUAUCAUACCUACAAUGUAGCUUGGUUAAGUUAAUUAUGGAUCAUCUUACUACUUUUGUUUUUCAAAUUUUGUCAAGAAAUACUGCUAAAACACAUAUUAGCAACAAUUAUAUAUAUAUAUAUAAAUUAAUCCUACCUCAUGCAAAACACGUGCCACUAGCUAGGUUAAUUUAAAGCACCACUUGCUUUGCGGUAUUGGAGAGAAUGUAGUCAUCAUAGAUUCUGUUUGGAAAACUGAUCUUCGAAGAGAUUAGGAGCUGGAUAUUGUCUUCCUCUUCCUCUUUUUUAAUAUUUAUCUAUAUCAUAUUCCUCGUCUUAUUCUUCACCACUGUAAAGGGAUAUUUGAAAGGAAAAAAAAAUUGUAAAGUUUUAUUGUGUUUUUACUUUCCCGUCAUAUAUAGUUUUAAAAAAUACAUUUAAAAUCCUAGGUCAAAUAAAAAUUUAAAAAUAAUAAUAAGAAAAUAUUAUCAUAUAUAAUAUAACACAAAUAAUAACUAUAACUAUGAUAUCAAUGUUCACUAGGGUUCCAGAUUAUAGCUAUUUGAUUAUAGAAUUAAAAAGUGAGUCAGCCAGAAGGUAGUUAAUUGGCAUUUCACAGACAUAAAAUGGGUGUUUAUAAGUGAGGUGGUAAUUGUUUUUUAAAGUGUUUUUUGACUUGAAAAUGCAUCAAAAUAAUAUUUUUUAUUUUUAAAAGAUUAAUUUUGACAUUAACACAUCAAUAAUUUGAAGUAAAGAAAAAAAUAAUUUUUUUUUUUUAAAAACCUUUUGAAAUAUAAAAACAAAUAGCCAUAAUAACAAGCAAAACAUCAGAUGCAGUUAAUGAUUCUUAUAAGAUUUAAUCAAUUAUUUUUGGAACACGACAGUUAAAACCUUUGAAAUUGAAGCAUGCACCAUAAAAUGAUGAUGAUGGCCUUGCUGAACUGAACCAGAUUGCCUCAGGUUGUGGCUUACGUCGCCUUGCGUUGUGAUAGGAAAGACGUCUACGACAGCUUCGCUUCUUGUCAUCAAACUCUGACAAUUCACGGAACCUAAACAAAUUUUGCAUCCUAAAUGCAGCAGCAGCAGCAGACUUUAGCCGUAGAUAAUAACAUCAGAAAGCUUAGCAAAAGCAACAAAGCUAAAUCAUGGAGAUUAAAAAUGAAUAAUUACUAAGAAUUCCCCAAGAAUCAAGAUUCAUGAGAGUGUUACGUAUCUGGAUGACAGAAUAGUGGGAGAUGUUGCAACAAGAAAAAGACUACUAUGGGGAGGCAAGAAGGAGCGGGAAGUAGAGACGCCAGGAGCACACAACCUGCUGUUUAGUUAUUAAUAUUCUUUUAGUUAGUUGGAGUACAUUCGGUUAGCAGAGUUUGUUAAUCACUUUGAGUUAGUUGGAUUAGUACAAUUUCGAUUUCAUUUCUCUCUUCUCUGCUAAUAUCAUUCUGCUUCUUAGCCUCAUCUUCUUGAUUUGUUAAGUGAUCUUAACAAUUGAUUUUAGAGCCUUAAGAUCUAACACUAUGAUGAAAAAUCAUAAGCUGAAAAACAUUGAAGAACACUGCAAGAAAUUGGAGGAGCGAAUGCAAAUCCUUCAACAAGAACUCUAAGAAUCCCUGGUCGAUCAACAAAACAAAUGGCAGGAACAACUCGGUGAACAAUUAAAGUUGGAAGACUAAUUAGAUUAGUGCUCAAAUUGAAACACUGUCGAAUCAAUUUCAAACAUUCCUUGCUCAUCAGAUGACAGGGAAGGAUGUGGGAAGCACUUCUAGAGGAAUCUUACAGGCACUAGCAAGCGGCAGUCUUGAAGGAAUGUUAUCAAGGGGAAAAGGUCCUGCUAGGGGAGAUCAAACUUAUGGCCAGGAGCAGUAGAGAGUGGUGCAUAAUGCUGCUCUUCCAAGGAUGGAUCUGACAACAUUUCGAGGAGAUAAUCCUAGGGGUUGGUUAAGGAGGUGCAAGAAGUUUUUUAGCCUCAACUCAACUCCAUUUCAGUAGUGGGUAGAACUAGCAUCUAUUUACUUGGAAGGAAAGGCAUAAAUCUGGUUUGAAGGCUAUAUGCGUGGGGUAAUUCACUGGUUACUAUGCGCACAACACAGUAACAAGCUAUCUAUGGGCCGAUUCUGGCCUAGUUUCUUUUGGGCUAGGCCAGGCCCAGUUUUUUUGGGAUUUGUACUAUUUCCUCGCGUAUUUUUAUGCCUUUUUUAUUAAUUAGUAUUGGAAUAUAUUUUUAUGUCAUUAAAAAUACAAAAUCUGGUAUUAAAAUACCCGGUUUUCGUCAAAACUUCCAAAAAUACAAAAAAAAUUGAAAAUAGAAAAAAUAUUUUUGUGCAUACGGCCAAGAGUCUCAAAGCUAAAAAAAAUCAUAUUGUGUUUUUCAUACACCAAAAAACAAUGUUUUAGCAUGCAUUUUGGCUUUAAUAACCAGUUUAUUAAAGUCCAGAGAACAUUGACCAAAAUUUAAAAAACAACAAAAAUUUUAUUUUGUUUUGUUUUAAUAUCAGGGAUUAUGAAUUUAUACGUAAAACGUAUUCCCGAUAUUAAAAAGGUAUUUUCUUUUGACAACAUAGAACAGUUAGGUUUGUACCCGAUAAGAUAAGAACCUUCUUAUUGAAGAGGGCUUUUCUUGACCCUUUAGACGGACCAACAAUUAGAAAACACAACAAGACCAUAAUUUUUAUCAAACAUUAAAACAAUGCAGCUUACCUUAGGUAGGGCGUAGUGGGGGUGCUAAUACCUUCCCUUUACGCAACCAGUCUCCGUACUCGAUCUCUGAGACUAGUUAGGGUUCCUAGUGACCAAAAUACUAGGUGGCGACUCCCAGUCCAUAUUUUACUGAUAAGAGACAAGAAUUCCUUGUCUCUCCAUAUUUGCCAGACAGACCUUUACCAUUUUCGUUGUGAAUGGUGGACGAUCGUCGCGACGCCGCACACGUGCGACAAUAUGGUUGGUGGGGCAGUUUUUUCUGGUAGAGGUAACAACAAUACCACAUCAGGUACUUGCUAAUGCAGAAAUAACAAGGUUAUUGGCAGACUAUGCAGUUGCUUUUCAAGAACCAACAUCAUUGCCACCUACCAGGAAACAUGAUCAUAGAAUUCCACUAACAACAGGAGCUCAACCCGUCAAUUGCAAACCAUAUAAGAGCUCUUUCUUUCAAAAGGGGGAGAUCGAAAUGAUGGUCAAGGAGAUGCUACACAACAACAUAAUACAACCCAAUGUUAAUCCCUUUGCCUCUCCUAUUCUUUUGGUGAAGAAGAAGGACAACACAUGGCGUUUUUAUGUAGACUUUCGACUGCUGAAUGAAAAAAUUUCUUAGUAUUCUUUGACGAUAUUGUCAUUUAUAGUUCCUCUCUAAAAGAACACAUCAGUCAUUUGAAGCAAGUCUUGGACACUCUUAAAACUAACCAACUGUAUGCGAAGAGAUUCAAGUGCACAUUUGCAGAGCCGCAAGUAGAGUAUUUGGGGCAUAUAAUUUCAGCUGAAGGGGUAGCCACUAAUCCUAAGAAGAAACAGGCAGUACAGGAGUGGCCAAUUCCAAAAUCCAUUAAGAAGCUAAGGGGAUUCCUUGGCCUAGCUGGUUAUUAUUGAAAAUUCAUUAGGAAAUUUGGUAUUAUUAGCAAGCCUUUGACAAAUAUGCUCAAGAAGAAUAACUUCAUUUGGCAUGAAGGAGCACUAGAGGCUUUUCGCAACCUGAAACAAGCAUUGUGUAAGGCUUCAAUCAUGGCCUUGCCGGACUUUACCAAACCGUUUGUGCUGGAACCAGACGCUUGUGAUACUGGAAUUGGAGCAGUACUUAGCCAGGAAGGAAGACCAUUAGCAUUUUUUAGCAAGGCCUUGGGAGUCAAACACUUGAGGCUAUCCAUUUACGAGAAGGAAUACCUUGCUAUUCUAAUGGUAGUCGACAAGUGGAGGCAUUACUUGGAACAAGAUCAGUUUGUCAUUCAAACUUAUCAUAAAAGUCUGACGUAUCUACUUGAUCAGAAAAUUCACACUCCUAUACAAAAGAAGGGGCUGACUAAGCUGUGGGGGUUGAACUAUCGGAUCAGGUACAGAAAAGGAAAGAAGAAUAAGGCUGCAGAUGCCUUAUCUAGGAGGAAUAUGCAGGGGGAAGAAGGCUGUCAAGGAAAUAAAAUGGAAGGGGGAAGGUUCACCGCCAUAACACAAAUAACUCCCUCCUGGUAUGACAAGAUUUAUGCCUCUUAUAAAGACGAUGCCAAGUUGCAGGAUAUGAUGAGGAGUAAACUGGUAGAUGCUGCACAAUCUCUCAACUUUGUAUGUUGAAGGAGUGAUUAAAUAUAAGGGGAGAGUUAUUAUUGGAUCUGCAGGGUUAUUAAAGGAAGAACUCAUCAAGUCUACCUAUGAUUCCUACAUUGGAGGACAUGCUGGGAUCCAAAAUACAUACAGACGACUUAAGGCUCACUUCUACUGGCCUUCUAUGAGGAAAUUAGUGCAAGAAAUAGUUCAACACUGUGACAUUUGUAAACAAGCUAAGGCCGAAAGGGUCCCUUAUCUUGGAUUGUUACAGGCUCUUCAAGUUCGAAGUGGUUCUUGGCAGGAUAUAACCAUGGAUUUCAUAGAAGGAUUUCCAAGGUCAGAAGGCAAGGAUACCAUUAUGGUCAUUGGUGAUCGAUUUACGAAGUAUGGGCAUUUUAUCACAUUAGCCCAUCCCUUCACAGCUCAAGAGGUGGCUAAAUUGUUUCUGGAUCACAUUUAUAAGUUACAUGGCUUGCCUGCCACGAUAUUAACUGAUAGAGAUAAAAUUUUCACAAGCUUGUUCUGGAGAGAAUUGUUUAGACAUUUGGGCAUAAAGUUGUUACUAAACGCCUCCUAUCAUCCUCGAAUGGAUGGUCUGACCGAGAGGGUGAAUCAAUUCCUAGAGACUUACCUAAGGUGCAUCACUAUACAUUGUCCCAAAAGUGGAACACUUGGAUAUCGACAGCACUAUUUAACAAUUGUUUAGAAGGUAGAUAAAUUAUUUUGAAUUCACAAUUUAACAUGACAUGGAAGGAACAUGCAUUAGAGAGAGGAUCUAAUUUAACAUGUCGUACAAUAAUAACUUAAUCUAUAGCCUUUUUUAUUUAUUUUCUUUUUAAUUUUGGUACAAUAAAAAGGCUCUUCAAAUAUGUAGAAGAUAUAACAUAUUUAGAGUAUGAGAUAUUGAGGCCAGCUUUCAACUGCCAUGAUAUUUUCUAGUAAUUCCUUAACUUAUACUGCAUAUAGUUUAUUACUGAGUUGUUGCGUAAUUAAUUAAUUGGAAUAGAGGGCAUGUAUCCCAUCAAUAUCAUCCUGGGCGAGAUCUCUUUUCUUCUUUCCAGCUUCUAUCGUUGGAUACAUGAUGGCUUCGGGAUGAUCUGUACUAUGAUGAAGGCCAAGCAGAUGUCCUAUUUCAUGAACAGUAACGGAUUCCAGGUCAGUUUGAUCCAUUGCGGGGUCAGUGCUCCAGUUCUCGUCUGCAUCGUAAUGGAGACGGCCGUCUUGUGGAUAAAAAGCAUGAGCCAGUGUUUUCCCUGGUCCAUCAAAAGGAUACCGGUCCCCAUGAUCGCCGCUGUAGAACUCAAUUACAAUAUCUGCUGAUGCACCGGCAGUCGCCUCCUGGAAAGUGAAUUUAGAAACCUUUGCCCAUGUUUGGAAAGCUUUUGAGCAGACCGACCUCAAGGUGUCCGAACCAACAACUUGGACACCGGAGCCAAAUCUGUAGGUCAGAGCAUACUUGGAAGGUGGCCACUUUUCUGCCCCGAAAGCAUAAUGAGCCACCAUGUGGACCUUCUUGUGUUUUGAUUUAGUGCUGUUCGGUUUGGUGGACGGAGUGUUUAUGAUAUCAGGCGUUCCACAUCGUGGAAUCACCAUUUGUUGUAUGGUACUAGAGUCGAGGUUACCAGUAACAUUCAGAUGAAAAUAUUCUUGGUAUGUUUUGAGUGCUAGCUCCAAGUGGUCAUCAAAAUCACUGCUUGUGAGAGUGAUAUCAUCACUUGGGUAGUACCCAAGCUUUUUGAGAUAUUGUUUGAGCUCAAUAAGCCCUUGCACAGUUUGGCCCUUUUUAACCCCUUCCAGCCCUUGAAGGAAGCUGCUAAAAGAUUGCCGAUGCUCGGGUUUCAAAGUUCUUGCCAGACCUCUGAAGGACUGGAUAGAAAAGAUAACGAGGAUUGCUGAUAAAAGAUGGGAAAGAUUAGGAGCCAUAUAUUAUGUUGUUUCGGAGAAUGGCUUCAGACGUGGGUUGUGGCUUUCAAUUCUAGUAUCGGAUGGCUAUUUAUAGGCAUAGUAUGUUGUAUUGGCAUUAGGACUAUAGAAUAUGUCUUGAGAUUUACUACUAUCCUUAUUUUUGUUAAUUCUGAUUACUUAUUUUCAAAUAUUAAUUAUUUAGACUACAUUUUUCCUUCAAGCAUCUAAUUUAUUUAUUUUCUUUCGUAGUAAUCAAUGAAAUUACUAUCUGAAUAUUUGAGUUUAACUUUCAUUUAUAUAGUUAUUAUUAGAUAUCUCUAUCCAACAAAAUCAACAACUUCAUUGUGAUUGUUUUUUAUGUAGCUUUUGUGGUUGUGAUUUUAAAAAAGUGCGGUUAGCUGUGGUUAGUUAGAUUUAGAUACGUGUUUGGUAAAAAUUGUGAUUGAAGUUUAUGUGUAGUAAAAAAACAUACUAAAAUGUUUGGUGGAAGUGUGGUUGCAGUUGCUUUUUAAAGUGCUUUUUACUUGGAAAUGUAUCAAAAUAAUAUUUGUUUUAUUUUUUUAAAAUUAUUUUUGAUAUCAGCAUAUCAAAAUGAUCUGAAAACACCAAAAAAAUAUUAAUUUGAAGUAAAGAAAAAAAUAAAAAAUUCUUAAAUUUUUUCAAAAGCGUUUUUGAAACGCUAAAACAAACAGGGUUUUACAAAACUCAGUUAAAAAAGCAUGUAAAAACUGCUUCACAAAAACUGCGUUUCAAACUCAAUUUUUUAGUGGGUCUCGUAGUAUAAAACGCAGUUUGGUUUGUUACCAAACACCUUGCCGCGUUUAUUGCACCGCAAACACAAAAGCAGGUGUAAAACAAAUGCAACCUUCUACUAUUAAGAAAGUACAUCUCUAUUCCGUGUCUCAUAAAUUUAAAUUAUCAAAUGGCUAAUCCUAAAUUGAAUCAAAGUUUUAUUUAUCAUUUCAAUAAUUUUAUUUUUGUCUUUGUUAGUCUUGAAUGAUUAAAUAUAGUAUAUUCUUUUAAUAUAUCUUUUUAUUUAAUUCAUUUAAAUAAUGUUGUUGAGAAGGAGCGCUCAAAAAAUAAAUGAUCAUGGGUUUCCACAUGUAAACCACACAAAAUACAUACAGUAGAGGUGAUGAUCUGAAAAGUCUGUAGUCUGUUAAUAGUGUGUAGACGACCCAAAAAGACAAGCCAUAAGAUGAAGGAGUGUCAUGGGACAUGUCCUAGAAACCAAAGAAGAUGGUGCAUAAUAUUCUUGGGCCUGGUAUCUGGAAGUGCCUCCCAAGAGAUCCAAAAGAGAUGCUUUCAAAUCAUUAUCCACACCUUAUAUGAAAACAUGACUCUUCUCUAGGUUGAUCAUCAGCCUUGAUAACACAACAAAGUCAUCCAGAGCCCUCAUCACAACACCCACUGAAUUGGUGUCUGCCUGACAAAAUAUCAUAAGGUCAUCAACAAAGAAUAAAUGAGUAAUACUCUCGUGUUGACACCUCUAGUGAUAGUGGUAUCUCUGGUUCUAAGCAGCCUUUCUAAGAAUACCAUCAAGCCCUUCAUAGCCAGCACAAACAAAGUUAGCUACACGCAUACUUUGGUUACGAGACAGCUUAGGGGCAUACAAUAUGUGCCAAGGACAACUAAACUAUCACAAUUCUCUGGGUUAUUCAAAGACCAAUCCGCUUUAGAAGUUAUGGAAAACAUCAAACAAGAUUGGAAGCUUUUGGUAUCGAUAAAAAAAAAAGAAUUAGAUGGUUUGAGAGAUCUAGUCACUAGUGAAAAAUACCCGAGGUGGAGAAAUCUAUCAUUGGUGACUUUCUUCAUGAAUCUCGAAUUCAAAACGGAAACUUCACAAACCGCUGAACUAAAUAAGAGAAAAAGAAUUAACAACGAGGAAGAGUUGAGAGAACAACUGGAAAAGCUCUAUGUAGAAUUGGGCACCAAUAAAGCCCUCAAGAUCUCCCUCGAGGAACAACUCUUCAUUGAAGAUAAACUGAGGAAGUUUAUGGAGUAACAGUUGAUGAACUGACCCUUAAAUGUAAAAGCUUUCACUGAACAUGAAUGAAAAGGGCAUGGACCCAAUCUUCACAGCAACAUUUUGUAUUGAUGAGUAUAAAUUUAUUAGGAAUUGGCUCAAAUCAAAUUGUCUCGACAGUUAUAAAAGGAUAAAAAUCUUACCCAAAUGAUAGCAUAUAUCAGUCAGAAAUUUGGCUAAUCCACAUUCAAAUAUGCAUCAUCAUGCAUAAUUAUACAUCCAUAUGCACUUGUGUUUAUGAAUUUCAAAAUAUGCCUAACAGGUAUUUGAAAUUUAGGUUCCCCUACUAAAAUCUACAAUACUAGGUUUUGUAAAAGGAUGGAAAAUGAUGAAAGGGCUCACUACCAAAAAGAGUUGGAUGAUGUUAAGAAUAACAUGGCUCGGGUGACUAGUUUACUCGACCAACUCUUGUAAGCACAGUCAGGGGAAGGGACAUCCAGUCAGCAUCCGACUCUAUAAUCACCGCUAGUAGCUCUAGUUAUCAUUGACCCACAAAACUUGGAAACAAAUCCCACCGCUAGACCACAAGGAACAAAAAACAUUCCAAUUACUCACCCAAUUAUGCCUGCUCAAGUACUAACCAUAAUAGAUCUAACUAAAGGGGAAUCCCAUGGGGUUAAAUCUUUUGGUCACCCUAAACAAGAUAAGUGGGUUGCCUGGGAGGAGAGGUUUAGAGUUGUUGAGGGAUUUGACGUCUAUGACUUAGUUAGAGCAGCUGAGAUAUGCCUAGUACCAAAUGUAGUGGUACCCAAAGAGUUUAGAGUGCCAGAAUUUGUCAAGUACACGGAGUUAGAAUGCCUUAAUACACACCUGAGGUCAUAUUACAACAAAAUGACGGAGGUCAUAUAUAAUGACAAGUUGCUCAUCCAUUUCUUCCAAGAAACUUGACUAGUUUCACGUUAAGCAGAAAAUAUAAGAAUAAUAUAUAUGUCAAGUGUAUGGAAAGUAAUUUUAAUAAAUACAAGACUAUUCAGACAUCAUAUUUUUAGGUAAAUAAAGGAUGAAAAACAUCUUCUUUUUAUUGGCUUCAUUCUUGUGAUAUAUUACUUGAUAGGUUAGAACAUGUAAAUUAUAAUUCUAUAUACAAGUCAAUUAAUUUUGAAUUAUUAUUAAGUAUUGUUUUUUUUAAAAUAAAGUUUAUAUUGAAUCAAAAUUCAUAAAAAUUUUGGUAUCAAAUCAAGUCUCCUUCUUGAUCUUCCUCUCCAUCUCUUUGUUGAUGUAGAUUUUUAUUGUCCGACAAAAAUAGAAUGUAAGUUACUCAAUGUUUUAAAAAUUAUUAUUUAAUUACUAAAAUACACAUUAUUACUUAUAAUAACCGGUUAAAAAGGUACCUUAAUGAAUAAAAAGGACAUAAUAUAAUACCUAAUUAAUUAUAUUAUUUCAAUUUUCCAGGGUAUCACACUAGUUUCGAUUAAGAUUUUAGAUGACAACCUUACUCAAAUUAAGAUCUAUAUAUGGCAAUAUAAAUUUCCGGAAGUAUAUUCAAAAUAAUCAUCAAGUAAGAGGCCUUAGUUUCAUAACCAAAAGAACCGGUCUUCUUAUCAACAGCAGAAGCAAUCCUUCUUUUCUUUUCUUUUUUCCUUUUCUAUUUAUAAGCAAAAUAGUACCAGGAACGCCUAUGAAGAGGCAGCAGGAAAUUGUAGCUAAAGAAGAUUAAAAACAAAUCACACUAUAUUACUAUCAAAACUCAUGCCACUGCUUCUAAAGUGCAAGACCUCAUCAGAAGCAGAUACCAAGACCAAUCAACUCGAGAAAAUUCAAUCCUAUGGGAGCAUCUUGGGUUUUCCUUUAUGAUGGCUAUCGGAUGUCCACAGCAUUACAACUGGAGUUUUGCUCCGCAUCAAACAACUCAUCACGUCGGUAUUAUGUAUUCAUCCUCGCCGGGCCAAGGCAAAAGUGUCGUCUUCAUGGGACAGAUUUCUCUUGUAAGGUAUGGAAAAUAUCGGCAUCAAUUCCAUCUCCAUCUCCGAUCUUUCCUUGCAUCAAAUGUUUUGUUUGAUCUUUUGGGCCAGGAGUUUGGGAUCCAAUGAUGUAAGGGUAAAAUAAUGAUUCGUGGUCAUCAGCAAGUCUAUGGGAUUUGGUAUUCAGACUUCAUAUAUUUACAAGUAUCCUCCGACAACUCUUGAUAUCUCGUCGAUGCAGUCAUGGCAACAGGAAGUCUAUGGGUUUUGGCCGUAAAUGGCGCCGAGAGAGCCCUACCAUCAAAUGCAUUAUCGUCUUCAGCUUCAUUAUCGUUUGUCCUUUCCAACACGUACCAAAUGGUUUGCCCUCCGAUUCAGGUUGAUGCAUCUUUCAGUCAGCAUUAAGGCUCGGUAAUUAUAUUUCCAAUGAUAAAGAAACUUUUGGAUCUAUGCCCACUCCAUAAAGAUUUUAUUGUUAUUGGUGAGAUAACUAGAUUAAACUUCUUCAAUCUUUAUAUUUUCUCUUGAAGUGAAAGCUAAGGAUAUCUACAAAUAAAAGAAAUUCCAAACCUAACAAAAAAUUGAAGUGUACAUUAAACUUAUAAUUGAAUUUGGCCUUGUUGCUUAAAUUCUGAUUCUUUAUAUAUGAUUUUAUUGAUAUUUUAUUGCAAAAUGGAUUAUUAAAUCUCAUCAUUUUAUCAUCAUUAAUUCUUUUUAUUAAAAAGAAUAUUUUACGGCCAAUUCAUUUCAUGACAAUGAAUGAAUUUAUUUAACAUAUUAACGAUUUUUACUUUAUUGAAAAUAUAUUUUAAUAAAAAAAUUUAAUAGAUAGUUAUGAUGUUAUAUUAUUAUGAAAUAUAAAUAUAAAUAAAAAAACUCAAAGAAGGUAAGUUUUAUCACUCAACAAAUUUAAAAUGGAUAAAAAUAACAAUUGGAGUGUGAAUAGCUAGUGCUUUCAUUCUUUUUAUGAGAAUUAUGGUGUACUUUGAAUUGGUUUCAAAAUCUAAUGUAGAAACUCCCUUCAUACUAUGAAAUAAUUUGUCUUUGUCAAUUGAAUAUAAAAUUAAAAAAUAGCAAAAGAUAUUACCUUUGGAAACUAAGAGGAUAAUCUUUAGAGAAGUCCCCCUUCCCUCUCAUCAAAUUAUAUUAAAAAAUUAAGGAAUCAAAUUUUAAUAUCUUUUAUAGAAUUUGAUAGGGAAUUAGGGCCCAUCUUCAAGAUAGAGAUUAAAGAGAAAAUCAUUCUUAAAAAAUGAAUAUCUCCACUUUAGAAAUAAGUGUUUUGAUUUAUAUCUCCUCUUGAUAUCUAUUUUUCUCUGUAAAAUAAAAAUUAGUAUUCAUUAGUUACUACUGAAGUAACACAUGAAAUAUUUUAGUGAAUUAGAUCAAUUAAUCUAAAUUUCUAUAUUUAAAUAUUGCACUUGACCCAAUUGCAAUUGUGAUUUGAUUUCAGUAUAAUUGACGAAACCCAAAUGUGCUCAUUAAUUGUUAACAUCGAAAGUUUAAAAAAGUUGAAUGUGUUAAAAUCACUCGAAACCUAUAUAAAUAGAUACAUAUGAUUAAAAUGAAAAAACGAAGAGACACAAAAUAUUUAUAAUUCUUCCAAAUAAGUUUUAUUUAAUUCAACAAUUUGUUUAACAAUACUAAUGAUGUUGUUGAGUAGGAUUAUAGUUGAUAAUAAUAAAUAAUUGAUGAAAUCUUCAUGUUAAAACAAUACUAAUGACGAGAGGGAAGAUUGAAAAACAGAGAGGAAUUGUUUUGAGAUAUAGAGACGAGAAAAGAGAGAAAAUAGAGUAGAAGAGAGAAGAACCUCCACCGUCUGCCUUCUUCAAUAUUGCCGCCAUGAGAACCGCCUUGAGCCACUGUCGACAGCAGCUCUGUAAACCCCCGGUUAUAAUUUUUCUGGGUAUUUAAAAGAUGAGAAAUUUAACCAAUAGUAAAAGGGGUUAAAUUAAAUUAAAGAAACCUAAAUCAAGAUAAAAAUAGUGAAAUUAAUGAAAUGAAAAGUCAAUAUAGUACUAAAUUAUUGAAAAGAAAAACAUUUGUGAGGACAAAAUGAAUAUGUAAAAUCAAGAGAGGUCAAUAUUCAAAUAACAGAAGGUUGGGAGUUUAUGUACAAAUGAUAAAAAGGGGUGGGGAUAAAUGUGCAAUUAACAAGAUGUUAGAACUAUAAAUAUCAUUCUAUUUUCUCUCUUGGAGGAACUGACAAGAGUAAGAGAGAGUUUAGAGAGAGGCUGGACAGAAGACAUAUUGAUGGCAGAACAUCCGACAGCUAUAACUCCACCUUCCACCGUUGGAUCAGAACGAUAUUCAGAUAUAUUAUUCUCAUCCAUGUCAUGUACAUUUUCACUAUAGGGAUUUUCUAUAUGAGUCUCCGGUUGAGAGAUAUCGAGGGGGGAAAUAUCUGGGAAAAUACACUUCUGGACAAUCUUCUUUGCUGUCUGUUUUCUCUUUCGGCCACUGUUGGAUUAGGCUAUAAUUUGGAUAUGUUGUUCUUCCUGAUUCUGUCUAGACUCUGAACGGUGGAGAUCUGAAACAAACAUUCGGUAUAGAAGUUGUGUAUCUCACACAGUAGGUCUGCAAGUUUGAAGUCAGUUCGGUUAAACCCAUAUUUCUAGAAAUCGCACCAUUUGAUGAAGUUAAUAUUUGGAUAUGUUAUACUCAUAAUAAUGCAUUAUAACUUGACAGUAUGGAUUGUUUGGAAUAUUAUUCGUUUGUUAUUUAUGGUUGAUUGAAACUGUUUUCAAGGAUUGUGUUUAGAAGAAUAUUGUUCGGAAAGUUUGUAAAAUCGAUAAGAAUGUUUUAUUUUGACGUUAAGAGGGAAGAUUGAAAUAAAUAAGGUAAAUUGGCUCUUAAAAAGAUAUUUUUUUGACACUCUUAAAUGAUAUGUGAUAUGGCCAGGGGUUGAGAUAAAAGAGAAAAAGUUAAAUUAUGGAUGUUGUGUGUAAAUGAAAAGGUUGAUGAAUCUGGACAGAUUCGUCUCCUGACUUUUAAAGAGAAUUUGAGUAGGAGGAUGAGAGAAUUAGGAUCAAGUUUCUUCAUAGUAAUUGUAGUUUUGGAUGUUAGCUAACUAAGAAAAAUUGGUCUUGCUCAAUAUGGAGCUGUAGAACCCUAGCUAUGGGUCAUCAACUGAGAUUGGGUCCUGAUAGACCCUGUAGGGUAGUGUUUGUUGAUGAGCAAUUUUGACUAUUUCAGAGGCAGAACUGGGUUCUCCUUACUCAGAGAACUUGUAGCCUCGUGUAUUAGCUUUCCAACGAGACUAAUCUCGCUUGAAACAGAGUUCUAUAACUUUAGAUAUAGUUAAAAAUAUGAUGAGUGUUCAGACAAUGACAGUUGGACAAUAACAGUUCAAUAUCUAGACAGUAACAGUUAGAUAGUAACAAUUGGAAAUUUGACAGUAACAGUUCAAAGUUAGACAGUAAUAAUAAACUUUGACGUGAAUACUAUAUAAAAGAAUUGAGUCAUACGAACACUUGCACAUUGAGAUACUAACUCUAAAAAUAUACAUGAUAUAUGUAUGUAUGUUAUUAUGAGGAAAUGAACAUGCAUAAAAAGUAACAUAUGAGUAAUGGAUGAUUAUGGAUUCUCUGUAAUAUUGGACUGAAGGAAUGAUAACUAUGGUUGGAUAAAGGAUGACAACAUUAAUGGGUGUAAUGAGAAAAACAUGAGAUAUAAAGAAAGAAAUGAUUGAAAGAAAGAUUUAUUAGCUAUUGAUAUGAUUAUUAUAAAACAUAUCCUUGAAUGAGGAAAAUUUAUGAGAUGAGUUUGUGACUAUAGGAAGGACCACCUGUGUGGUGCAACAGCAGCAACAUGGGAGCACAAGUAGAGCUUCUACUGCAGGUAGGUGACUUUCACCUUCCUUUUAAAUAAUGUUGAAUAAUGAAAAUACUUUAUCAUGAAUAUUACUGUAUUGUGUUAAUUCAUAUACCAGAUUGUCAAAUGCUUAAAUGUAAACAAUUUAUUAGCUUCGGCUAAUGGCAUUCGAAGGGAUGACCGGGACAAACGAGUGAUUAGCUUUGGCUAAUGGCAUCCGAUAGGAUGGCCGGGACAAACGAAUGAUUAGCUUUGGCUAAACAAAUGAAUGAUUAGCUUUGGCUAAUGGCAUUCGAUGGGAUGACUGGGACAAACGAAUGAUUAGCUUUAGCUAAUUGCAUCCGAAGGGAUGGCCGGGACAAAUGAAUAAUUAGCUUUGGCUAAUUGCAUCUGAAAGGAUGACUGGGACAAACAAUUGAUUAGCUUUGGCUAAUGGCAUCCGAAUGGAUGACGGGGAAAAUUGAAUGAUUAGUUUUGGCUAAUGGCAUCCGAAUGGACGACCGGGACAAAUGGUUGAUUAGCUUUGGCUGAUGGCAUUCGAAGGGGAUGGCCGGGGUGAGUGAACAGUUAACCUCGACAAAUGAUGUCUUAAAAGAAUGGCUGGAUUUAAGAUUAUGGUUGAUUGUAAGAAUUGGUGCAUAUAUAUGUACUGCAAGUUGUGUAUACCAAGAACAUGAAGGAACUACAAAUGUCACGCUUCAAACAUGAGAUAAUGUUAAUGCUUCAUUAAAUUGCCAGACCAUUUUCUUCUUAUUAUUAUUAUUAAGUAAUUGCAUUCUUGUAAAUGUUUUGUACUGCAGUAGGGACGUCAUACCAACAAGGUGCCUAGAAAACGCAAUACACGGGAACCUACUUUUGCAAGGAAUCAUGUAGUUGCAUUCUAAAUCAUGAUGUAUUUUAUAUGAAUCAAUGUACUGAAUGUAUAACUAUUAUUAGAUCAUUUUAGAUUAAAUUCAUGAUGACUAUUUGUAGGAUAGAAUACAAACUCAUAUCUAUACAUGUAUAUUUUAAAUGCGAACUUAUAAUCAUGCAAACAUAAUAUUAUGAGUUUAUGUAAGAUUCACUUUUAACUGAAAAUGUUGAUUGUUGUUGAUGUAUGGAUUGUAUAUUGAUGAUGUGAAGGGAACAUGUUCGUCGAUUACCAACACGAUGUGUGUCAAGUACAAAAAAAAUAAAAAUUUACUGUUGUUUUGGGCUUGAAAAGUCGGGUUGUUACAAGCUCCACCACCAGCAGAAACAGAGGAGAAACCGAAACAAAACAGAGAAAAGGAGAAAGAACAGGAGGGAGGGCAGAAACAAAGGGCAAGGAAAACACAGAAAAAAGAACCACCAACCACCCUCAGCUCCCCAGUCUGCCACCGUUAGCGCCAAUAACAACGCCAUCGACAGUAGCUCCACCAUCGUCAGAGACCGAAGAAGAAAUGUAGAAGCAGGAGAAUAGAAACAAGGAGAAAAGGAAAACAUAGGAAAACAGAGAGAAAAACAAAGAAGAACCACCGUUUGGAAUCAUCCGUCCUCUGCGCCAUUCUUCCUCAACACUGCCACCGCUUGCCACAGUCAACACCAGCACCGCCACCACUGCCAGGUCAACUUCUUCUUCUUCGUCGUCCUCGGCUGCUCCACUAUUUUGCAUGAACAGUAAAGAGUCCUCCAUUUUUCACUAGGCCAGACAAGUUCGGCCCAACUCAAAAUGAGUGGGUCGAGUCCGGCUCAGUCCAAAUUUUUUUUAAAAAAAAAAUCAUUUCGAAAAUUUGUGAUUUUUCUGCAUAUUUUUCUGUCCAUUUUGAUUAGUAUCGGUUUGUAUUUUAAUAUCAUAAGGAUACGAAUCUGGUUUUCAUCGAAACGUUGCAAAAAAUAAAAAAAAUAUCUUGUUUUCAUGCAUAUGACCAAGUCUUAAUACGACAAAAAAUCAUAUCGUAUUUUCAUACGACAAAAAAUCAAAAAUAUGUGUUAGCAUGUAUUUUAGCUUUAAUAACCAGGUUAUUAAAGCCACGAGAACUUGGUCAAUAUUCCAAAAAAUUUCAAAAAAAUCAUUUUGUUUUCUUUUAGUAUCCGGGAUUACAAAUUUAUACAUACAACGUAUUCCCAAUAUUAAAAAGAUAUUUCUUUUUAUUAACGUUAGAACGGUUAGGUUUUACCCGAUAAGAUAAAGAUAUGCUUACCGAGGAUGACUUUUCUUAAACUAUAGACAGACCAACAUAUAGACGUUAGCAUAUAUUAGACAAUAAAACAAUACAACUUACCUUAGGUAGGGCGUAUUUGAGUUGCUAAUACUUUCACUUUACGCAACUAGUCCCCGUGCCCGAUCUCUGAGACCAGUUAGGGUUCCUAGUGACCAAAACACUAGGUGACGACUUUCAUUCCAUCAUUCCACCGAUAAAAGACAAGAAUUCUCUGAGUGGACAAUCAUCGCGACGCCGCAUACGUGCGACAACAUGAAAGUCAUAUUGUAUGGAAUUUGUAUGAUGUGUUUCUUGAGAGAAAGCUUGUAUUAUUCAAAAUAAACUUUUAUUAAGUGUAAAUUAUUUAAAAUAAUAAUAAUUUUAUUCAGAACCUUUAUAAAUCUAUACAUAUAAUUAAAUCUAAUCAUAUAAUUUUUUUAAAAAAUUAUUUGAUUGCUGUCUUGCGCUUCUAUUAUCGUGGAAUUAAGUAAAAUAUGAUUUUAUAAAAUAAAGUUGUUAGACCUCACUGAGUCAUUUGUUUGGCAUGUAUACUGGAGUUGAUUCAAGAUAUCAUCGUCUUAAUAUUUGAAGAACAAUGUUAAAAUGUUGAUGUCUUCAAUUCUUUCUAGUCAAACUAGAUUUUUACUAGGUCGAUUAGAUCAAACUUUAACUUACUUAGUUGAUUGGAUCAUAUAAAAGUAAAAUCUAACCCAAUUUAGCUUAACACCUAAGCUAGGAGAGGGCUAAACUCAAAAUGUCUAUGAUUUUAAUUGAAAUUCAUUAAAACAUUAACAACACCUGUAAAUACAUUUUUCUUUUUGCCAUCAAAUUUAAUUUUUUAUCAUACCUACAAUGUAGCUUGGUUAAGUUAAUUAUGGAUCAUCUUACUACUUUUGUUUUUCAAAUUUUGUCAAGAAAUACUGCUAAAACACAUAUUAGCAACAAUUAUAUAUAUAUAUAUAUAUAUAAAUUAAUCCUACCUCAUGCAAAACACGUGCCACUAGCUAGGUUAAUUUAAAGCACCACUUGCUUUGCGGUAUUGGAGAGAAUGUAGUCAUCAUAGAUUCUGUUUGGAAAACUGAUCUUCGAAGAGAUUAGGAGCUGGAUAUUGUCUUCCUCUUCCUCUUUUUUAAUAUUUAUCUAUAUCAUAUUCCUCGUCUUAUUCUUCACCACUGUAAAGGGAUAUUUGAAAGGAAAAAAAAAUUGUAAAGUUUUAUUGUGUUUUUACUUUCCCGUCAUAUAUAGUUUUAAAAAAUACAUUUAAAAUCCUAGGUCAAAUAAAAAUUUAAAAAUAAUAAUAAGAAAAUAUUAUCAUAUAUAAUAUAACACAAAUAAUAACUAUAACUAUGAUAUCAAUGUUCACUAGGGUUCCAGAUUAUAGCUAUUUGAUUAUAGAAUUAAAAAGUGAGUCAGCCAGAAGGUAGUUAAUUGGCAUUUCACAGACAUAAAAUGGGUGUUUAUAAGUGAGGUGGUAAUUAUUUUUUAAAGUGUUUUUUGACUUGAAAAUGCAUCAAAAUAAUAUUUUUUAUUUUUAAAAGAUUAAUUUUGACAUUAACACAUCAAUAAUUUGAAGUAAAGAAAAAAAUAAUUUUUUUUUUUUAAAAACCUUUUGAAAUAUAAAAACAAAUAGCCAUAAUAACAAGCAAAACAUCAGAUGCAGUUAAUGAUUCUUAUAAGAUUUAAUCAAUUAUUUUUGGAACACGACAGUUAAAACCUUUGAAAUUGAAGCAUGCACCAUAAAAUGAUGAUGAUGGCCUUGCUGAACUGAACCAGAUUGCCUCAGGUUGUGGCUUACGUCGCCUUGCGUUGUGAUAGGAAAGACGUCUACGACAGCUUCGCUUCUUGUCAUCAAACUCUGACAAUUCACGGAACCUAAACAAAUUUUGCAUCCUAAAUGCAGCAGCAGCAGCAGACUUUAGCCGUAGAUAAUAACAUCAGAAAGCUUAGCAAAAGCAACAAAGCUAAAUCAUGGAGAUUAAAAAUGAAUAAUUACUAAGAAUUCCCCAAGAAUCAAGAUUCAUGAGAGUGUUACGUAUCUGGAUGACAGAAUAGUGGGAGAUGUUGCAACAAGAAAAAGACUACUAUGGGGAGGCAAGAAGGAGCGGGAAGUAGAGACGCCAGGAGCACACAACCUGCUGUUUAGUUAUUAAUAUUCUUUUAGUUAGUUGGAGUACAUUCGGUUAGCAGAGUUUGUUAAUCACUUUGAGUUAGUUGGAUUAGUACAAUUUCGAUUUCAUUUCUCUCUUCUCUGCUAAUAUCAUUCUGCUUCUUAGCCUCAUCUUCUUGAUUUGUUAAGUGAUCUUAACAAUUGAUAUCAGAGCCUUAAGAUCUAACACUAUGAUGAAAAAUCAUAAGCUGAAAAACAUUGAAGAACACUGCAAGAAAUUGGAGGAGCGAAUGCAAAUCCUUCAACAAGAACUCUAAGAAUCCCUGGUCGAUCAACAAAACAAAUGGCAGGAACAACUCGGUGAACAAUUAAAGUUGGAAGACUAAUUAGAUUAGUGCUCAAAUUGAAACACUGUCGAAUCAAUUUCAAACAUUCCUUGCUCAUCAGAUGACAGGGAAGGAUGUGGGAAGCACUUCUAGAGGAAUCUUACAGGCACUAGCAAGCGGCAGUCUUGAAGGAAUGUUAUCAAGGGGAAAAGGUCCUGCUAGGGGAGAUCAAACUUAUGGCCAGGAGCAGUAGAGAGUGGUGCAUAAUGCUGCUCUUCCAAGGAUGGAUCUGACAACAUUUCGAGGAGAUAAUCCUAGGGGUUGGUUAAGGAGGUGCAAGAAGUUUUUUAGCCUCAACUCAACUCCAUUUCAGUAGUGGGUAGAACUAGCAUCUAUUUACUUGGAAGGAAAGGCAUAAAUCUGGUUUGAAGGCUAUAUGCGUGGGGUAAUUCACUGGUUACUAUGCGCACAACACAGUAACAAGCUAUCUAUGGGCCGAUUCUGGCCUAGUUUCUUUUGGGCUAGGCCAGGCCCAGUUUUUUUGGGAUUUGUACUAUUUCCUCGCGUAUUUUUAUGCCUUUUUUAUUAAUUAGUAUUGGAAUAUAUUUUUAUGUCAUUAAAAAUACAAAAUCUGGUAUUAAAAUACCCGGUUUUCGUCAAAACUUCCAAAAAUACAAAAAAAAUUGAAAAUAGAAAAAAUGUUUUUGUGCAUACGGCCAAGAGUCUCAAAGCUAAAAAAAAUCAUAUUGUGUUUUUCAUACACCAAAAAACAAUGUUUUAGCAUGCAUUUUGGCUUUAAUAACCAGUUUAUUAAAGUCCAGAGAACAUUGACCAAAAUUUAAAAAACAACAAAAAUUUUAUUUUGUUUUGUUUUAAUAUCAGGGAUUAUGAAUUUAUACGUAAAACGUAUUCCCGAUAUUAAAAAGGUAUUUUCUUUUGACAACAUAGAACAGUUAGGUUUGUACCCGAUAAGAUAAGAACCUUCUUAUUGAAGAGGGCUUUUCUUGACCCUUUAGACGGACCAACAAUUAGAAAACACAACAAGACCAUAAUUUUUAUCAAACAUUAAAACAAUGCAGCUUACCUUAGGUAGGGCGUAGUGGGGGUGCUAAUACCUUCCCUUUACGCAACCAGUCUCCGUACUCGAUCUCUGAGACUAGUUAGGGUUCCUAGUGACCAAAAUACUAGGUGGCGACUCCCAGUCCAUAUUUUACUGAUAAGAGACAAGAAUUCCUUGUCUCUCCAUAUUUGCCAGACAGACCUUUACCAUUUUCGUUGUGAAUGGUGGACGAUCGUCGCGACGCCGCACACGUGCGACAAUAUGGUUGGUGGGGCAGUUUUUUCUGGUAGAGGUAACAACAAUACCACAUCAGGUACUUGCUAAUGCAGAAAUAACAAGGUUAUUGGCAGACUAUGCAGUUGCUUUUCAAGAACCAACAUCAUUGCCACCUACCAGGAAACAUGAUCAUAGAAUUCCACUAACAACAGGAGCUCAACCCGUUAAUUGCAAACCAUAUAAGAGCUCUUUCUUUCAAAAGGGGGAGAUCGAAAUGAUGGUCAAGGAGAUGCUACACAACAACAUAAUACAACCCAAUGUUAAUCCCUUUGCCUCUUCUAUUCUUUUGGUGAAGAAGAAGGACAACACAUGGCGUUUUUGUGUAGACUUUCGACUGCUGAAUGAAAAAAUUUCUUAGUAUUCUUUGACGAUAUUCUCAUUUAUAGUUCCUCUCUAAAAGAACACAUCAGUCAUUUGAAGCAAGUCUUGGACACUCUUAAAACUAACCAACUGUAUGCGAAGAGAUUCAAGUGCACAUUUGCAGAGCCGCAAGUAGAGUAUUUGGGGCAUAUAAUUUCAGCUGAAGGGGUAGCCACUAAUCCUAAGAAGAAACAGGCAGUACAGGAGUGGCCAAUUCCAAAAUCCAUUAAGAAGCUAAGGGGAUUCCUUGGCCUAGCUGGUUAUUAUUGAAAAUUCAUUAGGAAAUUUGGUAUUAUUAGCAAGCCUUUGACAAAUAUGCUCAAGAAGAAUAACUUCAUUUGGCAUGAAGGAGCACUAGAGGCUUUUCGCAACCUGAAACAAGCAUUGUGUAAGGCUUCAAUCAUGGCCUUGCCGGACUUUACCAAACCGUUUGUGCUGGAACCAGACGCUUGUGAUACUGGAAUUGGAGCAGUACUUAGCCAGGAAGGAAGACCAUUAGCAUUUUUUAGCAAGGCCUUGGGAGUCAAACACUUGAGGCUAUCCAUUUACGAGAAGGAAUACCUUGCUAUUCUAAUGGCAGUCGACAAGUGGAGGCAUUACUUGGAACAAGAUCAGUUUGUCAUUCAAACUUAUCAUGAAAGUCUGACGUAUCUACUUGAUCAGAAAAUUCACACUCCUAUUCAAAAGAAGGGGCUAACUAAGCUAUGGGGGUUGAAUUAUCGGAUCAGGUACAGAAAAGGAAAGAAGAAUAAGGCUACAGAUGCCUUAUCUAGGAGGAAUAUACAGGGGGAAGAAGGUUGUCAAGGAAAUAAAAUGGAAGGGGGAAGGUUCACCGCCAUAACACAAAUAACUCCCUCCUGGUAUGACAAGAUUUAUGCCUCUUAUAAAGACGAUGCCAAGUUGCAGGAUAUAAUGAGGAGUAAACUGGUAGAUGCUGCACAAUCUCUCAACUUCAUAUGUUGAAGGAGUGAUUAAGUAUAAGGGGAGAGUUGUUAUAGGAUCUGCAGGGUUAUUAAAGGAAGAACUCAUCAAGUCUACCUAUGAUUCCUACAUUGGAGGACAUGCUAGGAUCCAAAAUACAUACAGACGACUUAAGGCUCACUUCUACUGGCCUUGUAUGACGAAAUUAGUGCAAGAAAUAGUUCAACACUGUGACAUUUGUAAACAAGCUAAGGCCGAAAGGGUCCCUUAUCCUGGAUUGUUACAGGCUCUUCCAGUUCCAAGUGGUUCUUGGCAGGAUAUAACCAUGGAUUUCAUAGAAGGAUUUCCAAGGUCAGAAGGCAAGGAUACCAUUAUGGUCAUUGUUGAUCGAUUUACGAAGUAUGGGCAUUUUAUCACAUUAGCCCAUCCCUUCACAGCUCAAGAGGUGGCUAAAUUUUUUCUGGAUCACAUUUAUAAGUUACAUGGCUUGCCUGCCACAGUAUUAACUGAUAGAGAUAAAAUUUUCACAAGCUUGUUCUGGAGAGAAUUGUUUAGACAUUUGGGCAUAAAGUUGUUACUAAACACCUCCUAUCAUCCUCUAACGGAUGGUCUGACCGAGAGGGUGAAUCAAUUCCUAGAGACUUACCUAAGGUGCAUCACUAUACAUUGUCCCAAAAGUGGAACACUUGGAUAUCGACAGCACAAUGGUGGUACAACAGUAGCUUCCACUCGGCUAUCAACAUGUCCCCAUUGCAAGCAUUAUAUGGAUAUGAACCCCCGGUAAGGGAGAUGGUACUCAUUGAGGCUACUCAAGUAGCUAUUGUGGAAGAAUGGAUGCAGAGAAGGCUUAAUAUGGAUCAGUUGAUCAAGGGGCUGUUGGAGGGGGUGAGGAAUAGAAUGAAACAGGUGGCAGAUAGGAGGUGUUCGGAAAGGACAUUCAUGGUGGGAGAUUGGGUCUUCCUAAAAAUUCAGCCUUACAGGCAGGGCAGUGUCAUGUACAGGAAGAAUUUCAAGCUAAAUCCCAGGUAUUAUGGCCCUUACCAAGUUAUUGAACGGAUUGGAGCUGUAGCUUACAAGCUCAAGUUACCAGAGGGGCGUGCAGUGCAUCCUGUGUUCCAUGUAUCGCUAUUAAGAAAGAAGGUGGGAGAGGUGGCCAUAGUUUCCCAAGCCCUGCGGAUCGUAGAUGAAGAAGGCAGAGUUAAGGUUUAUCCAGUCACCAUACUAGAAAGGAAGCUUAUGAAGAAAGAUAAUAGAGCCGUGGUGGCAGGCUUAAUUCAAUGGUCUAACUCAUUUCCUGAAGAUGCAACAUGGGAAGAAUUGACAGAAAUACAAUUGCAAUUUCCAGAAUUCAGUAUUGACCCUUAAUUGUCAAGAUUGUAGAUUCUUGAGCCAAGAAUCUUUUCGAGGAAGAGUUAUUGUUACGUAUCUGGAUGACAGAAUAGUGGGAGAAGUUGCAACAAGAAGAAAACUACUAUGGGGAGGCAAGAAGGAGCGGGAAGUAGAGACGCCAGGAGCACACAACCUACUGUUUAUUUAUUAAUAUUCCGUUUGUUAGUUGGAGUACAUUUAGUUAGAGUUAGUUGGAUUAAUCUGUUAGUAGUCAAUGUGGAUUACUAUGAAAGCACAUUGUAUGGAUUAUAUUGGAUAUGAAUAGAUUGCAGUCCAAUUUUGAUCUCAUUUCUCUCUUCUCUGCUAAUAUCAUUCUGCUUCUUAGCCUCAUCUUCUUGAUUUGUUAAGUGAUCUUAACAGAGAGAACCUGCCUGCUGCACUUUUUUUUGGAUUCCUGAAAAGGAUUUGUGUUCAAGAAUUCAUUAUGAAUGAUAAUUUUGUUAUUUUGAGAUUCCAAAGAGUUUUUAGUCAUUAAAAUAAUAAACUUGUAAAUAAGGAGAUAUAUUUUGUUGGCUUUUUUUUUUAAAAGGAUAUUAAAGGUAAAUGCACAUAUAAAAUUUAUGAUAUAAAAUAUAAUUUUUCAAACCAUAAUAAAAAAUAUAUAUAAUUGCGACCAAACCUAAGAAAAUCUUUUGUGAUUAUUGGUAAGAAUAAAUAAGAGCAUGGAUUAAUGGUAAAAAGAGAAUCACGUAUUAAACACAAAAGAUAAAUUAUUUUGAAUUCAACAAUUUAACAUGACAUGGAAGGAACAUGCAAUAGAGAGAGGAUCUAAUUUAACAUGUCGUACACAAUAAUAACUUAAUAUAUAGCUUCUUCUUUUUUUCUUUUUAAUUUUGGUACAAUAAAAAGCUCUUCAAAUAUGUAGAAUAAAAGCCCAAUCUACUUAGAUAUAACAUAUUUAGAGUAUGAGAUGAGAUCAGCUUAUACUGCAAAUAGUUUAUUACUGAGUUAUUGCGUAAUAAAUUAAUUGGAAUAGAGAGCAUGUAUCCCAUCAAUAUCAUCCUGAGCGAGAUCUCUUUUCUUCUUUCCAGGUGCUAUCGUUGGAUACAUGAUGGCUUCGGGAUGAUCUUUACUAUGAUAAAGGCCAAGCAGAUGUCCUAUUUCAUGAACAGUAACGGAUUCCAGGUCAGUUUGAUCCAUUGCGGGGUCAGUGCUCCAGUUCUCGUCUGCAUCGUAAUGGAGACGGCCGUCUUGUGGAAAAAAACCAUGAGCCAGUUGUUUCCCUGGUCCAUCAAAAGGAUCCUGAUCCCCAUGAUCGCCGCUGAAGAACU
This 73076-nucleotide long non-coding RNA is filed under the name Populus trichocarpa (black cottonwood). RNAcentral describes it as "long non-coding RNA (PTRI_LNC004206)". Lineage: Eukaryota; Viridiplantae; Streptophyta; Magnoliopsida; Malpighiales; Salicaceae. The record is from RNAcentral.